AUUUAUUUAGGUGUGUGUGAGUAUAUCAAGACUUUUUACGGACUUACAUAUUUAGAUAUUUUAGAGAUUCUGUUAAUUAAAGUAGAAGAGUAGGUGAAUAUUGGUAUGUUGAAAACAUGUGUUAUUUAUACUCAUGAAUAGAAUAAUUAAGUAGUAUAUAAUUGUUGUUGUUCAUCUUGUAUUCCAAACAUACUUAGAACAAAACUUUGAACAUCUUUGUAAGAAAACAAAGUUUAAGAACAUUUUCACAACUAGAAAAUUAAAACUAGUAGCGAAACUAGAAUCAGAAACAGAUUUUUUUAAAAAAAUAUACGAAAUAUUUUUCUUAAAGAGGAAUUGUUGUUAAUAUGUGUCUAAAUAAUCUUACUGAUUCCAACAAACUUUGCAGAAACACGAAGUUACCAAGUUUAAUGAACCAGUGAAGAACAGAAGAAUAGAAGAACUGAAAUUAAUUGACAAAUCUAAAAUUUGUAAAAGACGUACCAGAAUCUGAAAAUUUUUAAUAGGAAAAAGAUCAAGUCCACUGAAUUCACAGUGUCCCCUUAAGGAAAUUAUUAGUUAAACGUGUUGGGAGCCGUGCAUGCAUAUAUAUAUACAUUUCAUGACAUAUAUAAUAAUAAUAAUAAUAUUAUUAUUCAAUCUCACCAUUUAUUUAAUAUAAUAUUACAUGAUAAUUAAGAGGGCACUUCAUUUAUUUAGGUGUGUGUGAGUGAUGAUGGAGUAGUCCUAGGUAAUAGUGACGGUUGCUAGAGAUGUAAGUAUCCCAAAAAUUGCUGCCAAAGUUUGACCAACCACAUUCUCAAGUAAGUUUCCAAUAAGGAUAACAGGAGCUACAAGGGUUCCUGUGGUUGGAGUCAAAGUGCAAUUAGCAAUUGGGAGAGGAAUCCUUGCAAUACAUGUUCCUGACAAAAGACUUGUAUUGGUGGACACUGCAGCAUUAAUAAUGCCUUGACUAUUUGUGGACACUUGAGCAAUCGUUGUGUUGCCACAAAUAAUCGUUACAUUUGCUCCACUCACUCCGACGCCUGGGGCAUUACUUCCCGGUACGGAGCAAGACAAACUCCCCAAUAUACUUAAAUUAACAACACGAUCAACAACAGGUGGUACAAUCGGUGGUACUUGACCACCAACAGGUGGUACAAUCGGUGGUACUUGACCAACAACAGGUGGUACAAUCGGUUGGCCAAGAAUAGGACUAAGAAUGGGACCGACAAUUGGACUGAGAAUAGAACCAACAAUCGGUAAUUGGCCAAGACCAACAGGUGGUACUUGACCAACGGGUGGUACAAUACGUGGUGCAGGUUGCCCCAAAAUGGGACCCAAAAUGGGACGAACAAUGAGACCCAAACCUUGAGCAUGAGCUAGAGGACUGAUGGUGAUGAUGGAAAGUAGAACAACAAGGGAAACAACACACAUUUUUGAAGACAUGAUGAUUUGAUAAUAUUUUUUUCUGUUCAAUAUCCCCUUUUUAUAGUGCUCCUUUUUAUUUACUCCACCCCUACCUUAACUUACCCAACCCCCUAAUUUAUAUAAAUGAUUAAAUAUAUUAUCUUUCAUCCCUAAAUAGCAUUAUUAAAGACUUACAAUAUCUCCCUAUAUCAUCAUUAGUUAGGCUGAAACUCAUCAACUUGAACAACAUUGGGACCAUACAAAUUAAUUAAUUCAAUAUCAUUUUGACUUGUCAUAAGAAGAAAUUUUUUUGUAAGCUGAGGCCAAAAGUAGGGUGGGCAUUCGGUAUUUCGAUUCGGUUUCAGUUUUUUUUCCGAUUUUUUGAUUAUUGUAAAUUGUGUACCGAAUACCGAAUCAAAAUAUUUUGGUUCAGUUUGGUUUUUGUUAAUUCGAUUCGGUUUUUUAUUUCGGUUUUUUAUGUUGAUGGCGCGGCUGCUAGCUGCUGACUGGUUGAAUGUUGAUGGUGCCUGGCAGACGGCGUGGCGGCGCUGCUGCUAGUUGCUUGACAGCGCGGCGGCGCUGCUGCUGUCUGCUUGACGGUGCGGCGGCGCUACUGCUUCUUUUGGCGGCCGGCCGGCGCAGCUGCUACUUCUCGCGGCUGCUGCUGCUUCUUCUGGCGGAUGGCCGGCGCUGCUGCUUCUUCUGGCGGACGGCCGGCGCUUAUGCUGAAUCUGGCUGGAGGAGAAGAAGAAGAAGAAGAGGAAGAAGAGGAGAGGAAGAGGAAAGACCAAGAGGAAAACAAAUCAGUAGAAAGAUGAAAGAGAGAGGAAUAGGGCCCGUAGGGUUUCUUUUUAAAAAAAUUAUUUAAUAUUAAUAAUUAUUAAUUAAUAUAAUAUAAAUUAUAGUAUAUUAUUUCGGUUUAAAUCGAAAUAUCAAAAACUAAAAUAAUACAUACCGAAAAUCGAACCGAAAUACCAAAAAAUAUAAAAAAGUAAAUCGAAAACCGAACUGAAAACCGAAAUAUCGAAACCGAAAUUUUGAAAAAUUUCAAUUUCGUUUGGUGUUUCGGUUUUCCGAUGUUUGCUCACACCUAGCCAAAAGGCCUUUAAUUUGCUCAUAGGAACUAUUUUGAUGGAAUAAAUAACUCCACUUGGUUUGGGUGUCAAAAAAAACAACAAUAAAAAUAACAACAACCAUCGAAGAUUUUUGAAAAUAGUUGUGUGAUUGUUAAUCACUUCAUUUAAAAAAAAAUUAAUGUUAUAUCAUGUUUUUAAUUAUAAUAAACUACACUAUAUAAUAAUAAUAAUAAUAAUAAUAAUAAUAAUAAUAAUAAUAAUAAUCAAGGGCAAAAAGCUAAUCUACUUGGUCAACAUAAAAUGACUUUUAAGUUGAAAAAAAAACACCCCUCACCUAUCUUUUAGAUUUUGGCAUAAAAUAAGUCAUUUUGGACUUAAAAUAAGUCACUUUGAUAAUUGUCAAACACUCAAAUAAAUCAAAAACUGAAUUUUAAAUCAGUUUGACCAGCUUUUAAGCCCAUUCCAAUAGGCUCUAAGUGUGUAAAUAACUUUUCGAUACAAGUUCAAGGUGAAAUUUAUGUCUUUUCCCUUUGAAAUACCUAUCACAAUACUUUAUUUCUCACGCCAUGUAUUCAUGAUAUAAUAAAAAUAUAUAUAUUAAAUAUUGAAUAAGAAAUUUAUGGGUGCCUCGACUAUGUUAAAAAAAGACAUAUGUCUUAGGUCCCCCAAAUUUAAGGGGCCUCAUUUUUAAUAAUAAUAGGUUAUAAGUUAUUAUUUUUUUAACAAAUAUUGAAUACUAUUUAUAGAAAAAGUAAAAUUUUUCAUGAAAAAUAAAGGAAUUAUAGAAGAAAUUUGACAUGUUUGAAGUAAUAUAUCUCAAGAAAAAUAAUUUAAAAUAAGAAUGAUUAUAUUAUCAAUUGAAAACUAGAAGAAAUCAAUUAUAUGAAGUUAUUGACGAUUCAAGUCUAAUGAUCUAUUUAAUUUUUGAUUUAAGCCACUAAUAUACUUAAGUCACUUCUAAAGAAAUUUUGAUAUUUUUUCAAAGAAAGAUGUAACAUAAAAGUUAUAAUAAAAUAUGUCUUUUACUUUAUCAGAAAAUAUCAAGAGAACGUGGGAUGAAUGCAUGAGUUAAUUUGACAAAGUUUUAUCAUUCAUUACAAUAUUAUUAAAAUUAAUAAUCUAUCUUAUUUAAUGGCUCAAUAAGUGAAUGAAAAGACAUGUUAAAACUAAUGUAAUUAAGUAUUUUACUUUUACAAAUUAUGACUUAUUAAAACUAAUGUAAUUAAGUAUUUUACUUUUACAAAUUAUCAAAAAUUUCAAAGGACUAAAUCGUUAUGUCAGAAGUGAUUUUAUUUUCACGGUGUUAAGUGAAAUCGCUAAAUCACUGACCUACCAGCGAUUUUGUUCAUAUUUUUUUCCUAUUUUUUUUAAAGGCAACGAUUUUAGUGGAUUUUUUUCCUUACAUCUCGUAAUUUGAAAUAACUAAGAAAUCAAGAAUAAACAAAAUCGCUUCUGAUAUAGCGAUUUAGUGCUUUUAGUUUUAAAAAACUUAAUGUACCCUUUUGAAAUUUUUAAUGUUUUUUUUAACUCAAAGAAAAUUUUUGUAUGGGUAGUGUUUUUGGAUUUUUUUUUAGAAAAAUAAAAUUGCUUUACUGUCGCAUUUUUAUUUUAAUUGUUUUUAAUAUCGCUGCCUAAAAAGCGAUUUAAGUGGGAAAUUAUUAUACUUUUUGGCAAAUGGUAGCGAUUUGUGUGGAAUAUUUUUUAUUUCUUUCUUUUUAAAAAUCUUGGCAACUCUUUAGUUAAAUAACUUUUAUUAAGAUAUUGCUGGCAAUUAUUUUUUAAAAAUUCGUUUUAAAUGUUGGUAAUCAAUUUUAAAAAAUAAUUAUACAAUUUUUUUAAAAAAAAAAUUGGCACUGAUAUUUUUUUUUAAAAAAGAACUUCCACCAAGCAGCGAUUUUUUAUAUAAAAAUCACGAAAAUAGCUGUCAAGAAUUUUUUUUCCAUUAAAACGCUGUUUUUUUUAAUAUAUAAAUGUUGCAUUGCAGUGAUUUAAAAAAAGAGAAAAUUGUAUAUAAUAUAGUAAACUAAUAAUAUAAAAUAAAAUGAAGCAGCUAGGAUUUGAUUUAAUUGUGCUCCAUAGCAAAUGUUUGCAAAAAAUUGCCAGACACCUCUCUCCCAAAUAUCUCGCUCGCCACUCUCCUCCAAUCUCUCGCUCUCUUCCUCACUUUUUAUACAAACACAAGUGUAUAAAAAUUGUUUCUAAUUGUAUAAAGCAGAAAAAAUUGUAUAAAUACAUAUAUUUUUGUUUCCUUCUCUCCUCUCUUCUAGAUCUCGCUCGCCACUCUCCCAAAUCUCGCUCGCCACCCUCGCCUUUCUCACUUAUAUAAACAGAAACGAAAUGUAUAAAUUGCGUUUCUGUUUGGAUAAAGCGUGAGAAAAUUGUAUAUACACAUGCAAGUACAUAUAUUUUCGUCCUAUACACCCAGUUUCUUUUGCCUUUCUCUCUUUCUCAUUUUAUACAAUUUUCAAAUUGUAUCUAAUUUCUUUCUUCCUCGUUUUAAGUAAAGUUAUCAUUACAUAAAUCAAAUGGAGUGAGCUCAAACUUUAGUUAAUUUUUUUUAAAAAAAAUAUUUUGUUGUUUAACAAUUUUUAAAAUGAAAAUGCUAAACCUUUUUCACAAUUAUGUUUUAUAGUUUUUUUAUCAAUAUCUAGUCGAUGAUAACCAUAAUUUUAAUAUAAAUAAUAUAAUAAGGUAACUUAAUUCUGAAAUUCAAGUAUUGAUAUUUUUGAGAAAAUAUUUAUUUAGAAAUUGUAAAACAUUCAUAAUCUAAUAUUUAAUAUGUUUCUUACUCUCAACGAAUGACACUAAUUCAUCAUGAUUCAAAAUUGUAAGAAGUAAAAAUCAAUACUAAAAAGUGCAACUCAUUAUUAUAUGAAGUUUAAUAUGUAGUUUAUCUAUUGUCGAAAGUUUUCCAAGUAUAUGAUAUAUAAUUCUAUGAUAAAUUAAUUUUUGAUCCCAUAUAUUUAUACUAUUUUCAAAUUUAUACCGUUAAUUGAUUAUAUAUUUUCUUAAACUACAAUUACGCGAUCAUUAUUUAUCAAUUCUACUUUAUCAACUUUAUAUUCUUCUUUUUUAUAUCUUUAGAAUUGUGCUAUUUUUGUUUUCUUAUUUAAGUUACAAUUUUAAAGAUAAAAUAAAUAUUUUUUGGAGAUAAAAUAAGUUAAAUAAAAAACUAUAUGAAUACUUAUGUUGAAAAAAAUUAUAUAUAAUUAAAAAAUUGUCCUAUUUUUAUUUUCUUAUUUAAGUCACAAUUUUUAAAGAUAAGAUAAAUAUUAUUUUGAGAUAAAAUAAGUUAAAUAAACUAUAUGAAUACUUUUGUUUAGAAAACAUUAUAUAUAAUUAAAAAAAUUACAUAUAUGAAAGAUUAUAAAAUUAUACUGGUUAUGUUGUAGUAGUAAUAAACAUAGAUGAACAAUUUGAAUUGUCAAGAGUAUAAAAAUAAAAAUAUUUUUCACAUUAUUAUUAUAUCAAACAAAUACAAAUUGAUUUUCAAAAAGAAUAAUAAAAUGUAUUUGUGGGUCACACAUGAAACAAAAAUUAUGUGAUUCUUGAAAAAAAAUAAUAGAUUCUUCUAGAAAACUAUUUUGACAAUUAAUUAUACAAUUAUAAAUUUAAAACUUUGCCCAUAAAAAUAAUUAAAAUUACAAAAUUGUCAUUGAUUGGCCUCAUCAUGACUCUUAUGUAUAAUAGAAACUAGACAAUUGAAGGCCCGUUCAUGGGCUCAAUAUAAUUAAUUAUUUUUUUCAAUUUUAAGUUAAAAAAAUUAUCCAAAUUAAUAUCUUAUUUUAUCAUAGUUUCUAAAAUUUUCUACUAUUUAAACAAUUACAAAAAUGUCCUCUCAGAUACAUUCUUAUCCUCUGUCGGACACAUCAGUAUCUCCUCUCGAAUACAUUCCUAUCAUUUCUUGAAUACAUCUUUAUCUCAUCCUGAAACAUCCAUAUCCUCUCUUGGAUACAUCUCUCCCCUUUCGGAUACAUUCAUUCUCUCUCGAAUACAUCCCUACCUUCUCGGAAUCAUCGUGAGCUCUAUGUCUGCAAGUUUCCUCAAUAGCAAUGUAUCACGAUCGAUGUAUCCGCAUGUGUUGAUUUAUCUGAAAUUAUUUAAUUUUAAAAAGAUUUCGUAAUUUGAAAAAAGUAGGAAUAUAAUGUAAUUAACUCUUUACUCUAUGACAUAUUUUUCUUUGUAGUCAGUUUCAAAAGAAUGAUGUAUAACAUAUUUAAAUAACAUUUUGACUUUAAAAUAUUCAUUCUAUUCUUAGUAAUAUUAUUUAUAGUCAUAUGAACAUCUAUGGUUUGUUUUAGACCAUGAGUUUUAAAAGUGUUUUUUCUUUUAAAAAAUUUUCGUGUUAAGUUAAAUUAAAAUUUCAUAAACCGAAAGGGAGUGAGUACAAACUUUAGAUCAAUUUUAUAUUUAUAAAAUUAAAGUUUUUGUAACUAUUUUGUCUUUUAACAAAAUUUAAAAUGAAAUAAUUCACAAUUAUUUUUAUAGUAUUUUUUUAAAAUCAAUAUUCUAUCAAUAAUAAUAAAUUUUUUUAAUUUAAAUAAGAUAAUAAAGUAUUUUAAUUUUGAAAUUCAUGUAUUGAUAUCAAUUGAGAAAAUAUUUAAUUUUAAGUUGUAAAACAUUCAUAAUCUAAUAUUUAAUGUGCUCCUUACUCUCGAUGAAUGACACUAAUUUAUAAUAAUUCAAGAUUGCAAGAAGUAGAAAUCGAGACUAAAACGUGCAACUCACUAUUAUAUGAAGGUCACUAUGUAAUUUAUCUAUUGUGGAAGUCUCAUUAGUAUAUGAUAGAUAAUUCUAUGCCAAAUUAAUUUUUGUUUUCAUAUAUUUAUACAAUUUCAAAAUUUAUCCCGUUAAUUGGUUAUGUAUUUUAUUAAACUACAACUGCACUCAUUAUUUUAUCUUUUUUUUUAUUCUUACAUUAUCAACUCUAUUUUUUUAUCUCUUUAGAAUUGUGAUACUUUUGUUUUCUUAUUUAAAUCACAAUGUUUUAAAGAUAAAACAAAUUUUAUUUUGGAGAUUAAAUAAAUAUUAUUUUGAAGAUAAAAUAAAAAAAAGAUUUACUAACCUACAACCAGGAAGAUCCACUUUGAAACCCAGCGACGAAGAAAACUUUGAAACUCUUAGCCGCGAAAUGAGGGUGAAAGAGUAAAAUCAUUUCUGGAAAAUAAUGAAACGAGGGGAAAAAAGCGUAAUAAAGAUUUAAGGAAUUAGUCUAUGUGGUAGUGGACCCUAUUGACAUGCAAUAUGGAAUUCACAUAGCAUUUAACAACUUCUCUUAAUUAGAAGGGCAAUUUUGACCCAAUAGUUUCACGGAAAGGGUACUUUUGAGCCGAAAUAUACUUUAAGGGUAAAUAUGAGUUAUUUCAGAUAGUUUAAGAGUAUUUUUUACCCUUUUACUUUUAGUCUACGUGGUAGUGGAACCCUAUUGACGUGCAAUGUGAUGGCAUUUAACAACUUCCAUUAAUAAGAAUUGCACUUUUGACACAAUAGUUUGACGGGGAGGAGAGUUUUGAGCGGAAAUAUAAUUUAAGGUAAAUAUGAAAUAUUUCAGAUAGUUUAAGGAUAUCUUUGACCCUUUUAUGUUAAAACUAUAUGAAUACUUAUGUCUAAAAAACAUUGUAUAAAAUUAAAAGGAAAUUAAAUCAUGGAAGAUGGUAGGCUAUACUGAAUAUGUUGUAGUAACAACAAACAUAUAUAAACUAUUAAGUUGUAUAAAUAUUUUUUAUUUAUUAUAAUCAAACAAAUAAAAGUUAAUCUUUAAAAAUUAAAUAAAAUGAUUACAUGGAGUCCCAUGAAACAAAACUUUUUGUGACUCUUGAAAAAGAUUAUUGGAUACUUCUAGAAAAUUAUUUUGACCACUGAUUAUGCAAUUAUAAAGUUGUAAUUUUGCCCAUAAAUAAUGUUUAAAAUUACAAUAUUGUCAUUGGUCAUCCUAAUCAUGACUCUUCUAUAUAAUAGAAAUAAUAAUAACUAGAUAUCAGGUGCCCGUGCUAACGCAAACGCAACGUAUGUUAGAUUUUUCUUCUUCCAAUUUAUGUGACAAAAAUGAAAUUUGAAAAAAAUGAACUAAAUUUUUUAUAUGUGUUUUUUUUAAAAAAUAUUUUAAAUUAUUAAUUUAUGUAUCUUUUUUGUCAUUUUCGAAUAAUAUAUGUUACUUUAUCUAUUUUAUUUUAUAUGAUACAAGUGAUUUUAGGAAAGUAAACGAAAUUUCUUAUAUGAUUUUCAUAUAUUUUUAGUUGUCAUUUUACUGCGAUUCAUAGUACUUUUUAGUUAUUACGUUAUUUUCAAACAAUAUAUGCAACUUUUUUUUUGUUUCAAUAAAAAUAAGGGAGUCAACAAAAUUUCAUUAUGUUUUUUCAACUACAUUUUUCUAAAAAUAUUUUAAAUUGUUACAUUGCUUUUUAAAGUUUUUUUAAAUGUAACUUUCAAAUAUGUAACAAAUUAGAAAUUAAAACGAAGAAUUAAAGUUUUCAAAUCAUUAUAUUUCUAUAUUAGAAUAUUAAAACCUUUAAAACUACAUAUAUAUGCAUAAAUUAGUAGAAGGAAGCCUAACAACUUAUUUUUAAAAAAAUAUAUGAGAGCUCAUUUUAAUAGUAAUACAUACAUAUUUCAUUUUUCAAUAUCCGAAUCCCUCCUUUUCGAUUUAUAUAAAUUUAAUUUAAUUUAAUUUUUAUUUUGUUUCAAAAAGAAAAUAACUUCUGAAUUUUAUUUGUUUAUAAAGCAUAUUUAAGAUCACAAAAUCAAAAAAAAAUAUUUCAAUUCACAAAAUUUAAAUAUACAUAUAAAUUUUAAUUUUAAUUUUGAUUGGUUCCACCUAAUAUUAUACUUGAUAUAUAAUUAUUAAGAGCUAAGCGUAAUCAUUAUCUAUUUACUUUCGUAUAAUAAAUAGAUAUCACAAUAACUCUUAAAAAAUGAAGAAAUAACGAAAAUGAGAUAAUACUAAUAAUAAUCACUAAAGAUUUUCUAGAACUAGUUAAAUUUCUUGUUAUCAAUCGUGUUAGUUUUUUGCUUGCAUAAAUUACAUUUUUACCUUCGAUCAUCAUUCACUUCAUAUAUAGAAAGAUGUUUCUAGAAUUAUUUAUUCUUGAUAAAUUAUUGUUAGAAUGAAAUUACAUUUUAUUCUUAGUCGUCUUUAAUACAAAGUAUCAUCCUAUUCAUUUUUUAUUUGUCAAGUUACUUUUUAAGAUCUUUUUCUUUAAUUUCAGUCUAAUAUAUAUUAUUAAUUUAUCACACUUAUUUAUUUUCAAGUAUAUUAUUAGAGUCAAAAUAAAGAUGAAAAUAAUUAAUUCAUGAUAACUUUUUAUAUAAAAAGUAGGCAUAUAUUAUAAGCAUAAUGAAUAGAAAAAAAUAUUAAGAAUUAAUUUAAAGUAAUAGUAAAGUAGAGUAAUUAUAAAAUAGAUAUCACAAUAACUCACAAAAGAAAAGAAAGUGAAGUGAUAACAAAAUAAGUUAAUGGUAAUAAUAAUAACUUAAAAUAUUUCUAGAACUAUUAUUUUUAUUUUUUUUUGUUAUCAUUCUUCAUAGAUUUUUGUUAGCAUGAAAUUAUAUUUUUGCUGUAACGACCUGUUUAGUCGUUUGGAGCAGCAGAGUUAAUUUCUGAAAAUCACUGUCUGGGUCGACGGAUCCCACGACAGACCGUCAUGGGCACGACGGACCGUCGAGGGUGUCUCGUGCCAAAACACUUAGAAUUUAGAAAUUUGGGUACUGAGAUCGACUCUCUGAACUUCACGACGAAAUGGCAGGACGGACCGUUGAGGGCUCGACGGACCGUCACAAAUCCUUCCGCAGAAUUAACUCUCUGAACCUUGUGACGGACGUGCAGGACGGACCGUCACAGUUGUGACGGACCGUCACAGGCUGCGUGACCCUGACUGGGUCGGAUUUCUGUUAAAUAUUUUAAGGGGCGUUUUGGACUAUUCCUACUUAUAAUUAUAAAGUUAGUGGUUUAAUGUUAAUAAUUUAAUUACUUGGGGGUUAAAAGAGAGAACCUUGAAACAAAUAGUGGGAUAUUUUAUCAUCUUUUAUACUUAAUUAUAUGCUAAUUAGGGUAAAAGAAAGAGGGUUUGAAUAAGAAAAAGAAAAAGAACAGAGAGAGAGGGAGAAACGAUCGAUUGAGAGAGAAGAAGAACGCAGCUUUGGGAAAGUAGAUUGCUUGAUCACAAUCCUUCGGUGGAGGUAGGUUAUGGUUUAUGCUAUUCGUAGUAAACUCUUAAUAGCGAAUGAUAUGUAUUGGGUAGUGUUGUAAACCCUUCUAUAUGCUUAAUUGUAUGCUUGCAUGAAUGUGAUUAUAUAAUUGUGAUAAAAUAAGCAUGAUGAAGCUAUUGAAUCCUAAAUCUUGAAAAUCCUAAUCUACUUUGUUAAUGAUGAUGCCUUGGUAUAAAAGAAGGCUUGAUGAACGAAAGUAGUAAGAUUAGGGGAUCGGAGUGUCACGUUCCGACACCAGGAUAGUAUAUGGAUCGGGUGCCACGUUCCGGUACCAGGAUAGUAUAUGAGGAUCGGAGUGUCACGUUCCGACACCAGGAUAGUAUAUGGAUCGGGUGCCACGUUCCGGUACCAGGAUAGUAUAUGAGGAUCGGAGUGCCACGUUCCGGUACAAGGAUAGUAUAUGAGGAUCGGAGUGUCACGUUCCGACACCAGGAUAGUAUAUGGAUCGGGUGCCACGUUCCGGUACCAGGAUAGUAUGAUGAGGAUCGGAGUGUCACGUUCGGACACCAGGAUAGUAUAUGGAUCGGGGUGUCACGUACCGACACGAGAGAAAUAAAGAUAAUGAAUCUUGAAAGAUGUUAAUAUACUCAAUUUAAUGAACCUAAUUCCCAAAUGAGUAUGAUGGGGAGGCGUGAGUCCUCAUUGAUGUGCUUGGUGUUGUGACCAAGAGUUAUGAUAAUUAUAAAUGCCGCAUGUUGAGUAUUGUAGUUGAUUUUAUGAUAUAUCUGAUAUAUACUAUUUUCUAUUUUGAGUUGGCCGAUGAUAUCUACUCAGUACUCGUGUUUUGUACUGACCCCUACUUGUAAUUGUUUUUCUUUGUUAUUUGUGGAGUGCAGCAAACGUACCGUCGUCUUCAACUCAACCGCAACUCUAGCCAGUCUUCAUUACACCGGAUUUCAGGGUGAGCUAACGCUUCUAGCUUGGACUGGAUCUUCUUCUUCAUGUCUUGAUGCCUUGAAGUUCCGGCAUGGACUAGCUUUUUAUUUAUUCUAGCUUUCUAAAUACUCUUAGAAUUAGUAAUUUGAGGAUAGAUGUUCUUGUGAUGAUGACUUCCAGAUUUUGGGAAUAAUAAGUAUUGAGUUUUUAGAAGUUAUUUAACCGAUUUUCAUUAAUGAGUUUAAGUCUUCCGCAUUAUAUUCUGUUUAUUAUGGUUCAAAUGUUGGGGUUUAGAUUGGUUGGUUCGCUCACAUAGGAGGGUAAGUGUGGGUGCCACUCGCGGCCCGCUUUGGGUCGUGACAUUUGCCCUUGAUUAUUAUUCACUUCAUAUAUAGAAAGAUGUUUCUAGUAUUAUCAAUUAUCUUGCUUAAUAGAUUUUUGUUAGCGUGAAAUUACAUUUUUGCCCUUAAUCGUCCUCCCACUUCACUCUUCUAUAUAAUUGAAUAGAAAUACAUUAUAUAAAAUAAAUAUUUAUAAAUGAUUAUAAGUUUUCUAUAUCCUUUUUAUAGUGAUUAAUUUACAAUAGGUAAAUGGAUAUGUAUGGGUAAUAAAAUAUAUAUGAGAAUAGUAAUUUAAUUGUGAUAUAUGGCAAAUUCAUCAAAUAGUCAGUCUCUAAUAAUUUAUAUAUUAGUAGUGAAGUAUAAUGUUAAAUUUUAAACGAGGAUUUACAUAACGUGAGAAAGACUUCUUUUCUUUUUUAUUUUCUCAAGAGAUUUUUACAUUUUAAAAUUAGUUUAUAACUUAACAUUAAAUUACUUUAUAUGUAUUUUACUUAUUCAAACUCUCACAUAAUUACUUGUACAUUUGUUUAUUUAUGGUCUUCAUAUAUAACCCCUAGUAUAGCCUUGCUAAACUAAAUUUUGAAAAUUAUUACUAGUAAGGUGUUUGUUUCCUCACCUCAUAUAUUUACAUCAUAUGCAUAAAAAUUAUGUAAAAUGAAUAACAUAUUUUUUUAUUUAUUUUUAAAGAGACUAGUUAUUUGGGGCCGCUAAAGCCUACUUCAAAAUUAGCAAAUCAAAAGAAAGGAAGUGUACCUAUCAACCAAGUAAAAAUGUCAACUACUUCUAAAAAGUUUGGACAAUUUUUAAGACUAUGAAAAUAUAGAGACAUAGUAAAAUAUUGCGUGAAUCACUUAAUAAAAUCGAAAACAUAAUAUAUUGGAGAUAGUUUUACUAAAAAUAAUUUUACAAUAAAAUUGAAAUGUGUACAUAUUUAUUGAAUUGUGGGUAUAGAGACAAUUUUUAAGCUUUUUUCUGAUUUACAUAUAUUAAAUCGCGAAAGAAGUCAUGUGUUCUUAAUAAAAUAAUCGCUAAUGGCAAUUAUAUUUGCUGCUAAAAUUCUUCCUCUAAAUAACUUAAUUUACACUUUUAGCGUUUAAGACGCAAUGUCCAUCUUAAACUAAUAAAUAUGAGAAAUAAAUAAACUCAAUUGGGGGAUAACAAUUUCUUAAUUAGUAUGUUAUAUAUACAUUAUUUCAAUUAUACUUUCGAGUUUUGAUAUUACGAAAAUAUAAUGUCAAACUUUAAAGACAAGAAUUUACAAAUGAGAACGACUUUUUUUUAAAAUAUAAUGUCAAACUUUAAAGACAAGAAUUUACAAACCAUGAGAACGACUUUUUUUUAUUAUACGUUUUAUUAUAUAUAUAUAUAUAUACAUACACACACACAUAUAUAUACAUAUAUCAUUGACUCUAUAUAUAUAAGAUAGGAAAGAGGUUAAAAUAUAUCAUUGAACUUUCAGAAAAAAACUCAUUUAUUCAUCAGUUAAAAGUUUGGCUCAUUUAUGCCAUUACCGUUUAAAAAAGAUUCAUUCUUGCCAUUAUUUUUUAAUAAUGGUUUCGCAAAACCAUUUUUAAUACGUGACCAAUUAUAAUCGGCUACGUCCUCAAUUUAUUUAAUUAAAAAAUCAUCAUUCUAAAAAAAAUUGAAUUCAUUUUUUUUGAUUUUUUUAUUAAAUAAAUUGAUGACAUGGCUAAUUAGAAUUCAGUGGGAUUUCUUAAAUUUGGGCGGGUCUUUAUUUGAGUGGGGUUUUUAUUUAAUGUUUUCUCAGAAUUGAUUUUUUAUCAAAAAAAAAUAAAAAAUGAUGUGGCCGAAUCAUAACUUGUCACGUGUGAAAAGUGGUUGGGCAAAAUCGCCGUUAAAAACUAAUGGCAUGAAUGAGUCUUUUCCUAAAUGGUAAUAACAUGAACGAGUCAAACUUUUAACGGAUGACAUAAAUGAGUCUUUUCUAAAAGUUCAACGGCAUAUUUGAGCUUUUUCCCUUAUUAAAAAAGUGGCUUACAUACACUCAUAUUAUUACAUAAAUAUUCUAAAAUAUACCAUUUUGUUCUAACGGGAGUGAAAACAAAUAUUUUUUUAAACAUAAUUUUUUAUUUUUAAGAAGUAAAAUCUGAAUAUAUUAUCUUCCACUUUCCUAGAAAAUAUUAUCCUACAAGAUUUUUUAUUUUUAAAAUUAAAAUUAAUAUUUUCACUUCCAUUAGAUGAUGAAGAUAUACCUGAAUCACUUUUAUAAUGGUAAGGAUAUGUAUGAACUCUUUUAAUUCAAAUGUGAAUUAUUUUAUAAUGAGCGAUAUAACAAUUUUAAAUUGCAAAGUUAUGAAGACCUUUUUAUUUAGGGAAAAGGGUCUGAUAUACCCCUCAACUUUGUCAUUUAGAGCUGAUAUGCCCCUUGUUGUGAAAGUGGCUCAUAUAUACCCUUACUUGUAAACAAAUGGCUCACAUAUACCCUUUUCCUCUAACGGAAAUGGAAAAAAAAAUAAUUUUAAUCUAAUUUUUUAAUAUUUUUUGUCUAAAAAUUAUAAUCCCAUAUGAGUAAAUUUAAUCCUCGUAAAACAUAUUUUUUUUAACCUUUUUUAGUUUCAAUGACUAAUUUAUAAUUAUUAUUUUGAUAAUCAAAUUUAUUUAUGUUUCACUAAUAUUCUUGUAAAACUUAUUGUAGAUAACCAAAUUUUUUCUUCGAAUAUGAAAUUAAAUUACAAUACACACAAAAAAUAGUUUAAAUUUUUUCUCUUUAAACUAAGGAUUGAAAGAAAAAACAUAAGAAUAAGAAACUCAAAUAAUUAUAAUAAAAAAAGUCAAAAAAUAAUUUAUAUAUGAAAAAAAUCAAAAUAUACCUUGAACUUUGAUAGAAGAAUCAUAUAUAUCCCUAAAUAAUUUUUUUAAAAAAUUACAAGUAAUAAAUAUCAAUUUAAAACUAAUUUUUUAACUUCCGUUAAAUGAAGGGUAUAUAUGAGCCAUUUUGUAACGGGAGGGGUAUAUGUGAGCCGUUUGUAUAACGGUAAGGGCAUAUAUGAGCCACUUUUAUAACGGGGGGUAUAUUAGCUCCAAAUAACAAAGUUGAGGAGUAUAUCAGACUCUUUUUCCUUUUAUUUAUUGUAUAAAAGCAUUUCAUAUACUAGUUACAUAUUUAAAUAUUGAAAAUGUUGAUAAGAGAUCCCAUUAAAUGCUAAAGUAUUGGUAUUUUAAAAAAAUUUCCUUUUAUUUAUUGUAUAUAUCUAACAUCUCGUAACUUCAAAUAACUAAGAAUAAACUAAGAAAUCAAGAAUAAUCAUUUUUGGAAAUAAAUAGGAAAUCUGAAAAAUUUCCCAAGUGUAAAAGUGAGUUUUUGGUCAAUUUCAAACGACCAUAACUCCCAGCUUAGGAGGAGUUAGUGUGAGUUCCUUAUAUGGUUGGAAAUCCCUUGGAAAGAAAUUUCCAACAACGCCAAGUUUGUACAUUUUAGAUGUCGUAUGAAGGAGAUAUGACUUUCGAAAGUUUGGUUGUUGGAGUGAGGAAAAUUCAAUCCGGAUUUAGUAAGGAUAAAGUAGUCUUUUCACCCUAGUAUUUUCUAAUUCGUUUUAAGGGUUUAUUAGGGGUAAAAUCAAGUCCAUAUUCAGUUUUGAAAAAGUUGAGAACGCUCAUGGCUUGGGAGAAAAGAGAAGAGAAAACCAAAAUUUCUUCAAGAACGCUAAGGUUUCGCUAGAGGAAUUCAUCGGGGGUGAUCUCUAUCGAGGUAUAUGAGAUCUUUCUAUGUUGGGUUCGUUCACCCACACACCAACAUGUUUAUUUAGCAAUUUUUGUAUUGAUUGAAUAAUGAAUCUUGAAGUUCUUGAUGAGCAAUUGUUGAAUCCUUAUUGGUAGAGUUGUAGUGUACCUUUAGUUGGUGUUGAUUCGUAUUUUCAGGCUGUUUUACGAGUCUAAACUAUUGGGUAUUGAGUAUAUUAGUGAUUGAUACGCUCAAACUUACUUUUUAAAUAAGAAGUAAAGCAGUAAAUGGGGGUUUCUAUUCCUAAAUAAAUGAAAAUAACUAGCGAAAUUAAAGGAGACAACUAACAACUUCGAAUGUUGGAGUUUAAUCACUUAAUCAAAGUAACUAGGGUUUACGUGUUCCCCACAGGUUCAUAACUUGAUAAUUCUAACUAUAACAAUUCUUUCCUAGUAUCUUGCAUGCAAAGUGAUAAGUUAUGUAUUUCUAAAUCCUUGGUCCGGCAUCUAGAAAAUUUCACUCGGCACCUUGGUCCGACUACGUGUGUUGCUAUACUAACCCUUAUAUUUACCUCAUAUUAAGCAUCGUAUUCGAUAUUUGACUAAGUUAUUACCCCGUACCAAUCAAUACUAGCCUAUUAGAUAGUAUACACUAAAUUUAUAUUGAUAAUUCUUUUCCUAUUAUCUUCCUCCUUGGUCCGACAAGUAGCAUUAAGGCGAGUUCUAACGUUGGCCAUCCGUUAAAAAGACUUCCAAGCGAAAGAAUUAUCAAUACAUGCAAGACACUAUUCUAGAAUUGUUAUUUUAGUUAGAUUUUACCUCAUUAUUCGCCUAUGGUUCCCACAACCCUAAUUAUGGAGUUUAGUUACCCAUAAUCAUAAUCACAAUAUUCAAAUAUAUGAUAUAAGAAUUCAUGCACUUACUUCAAUGAGAAAGAGUAAAAUCCAAAAGUUAGCUUGAUUAAUCAACAAUCAAUUACAAGAAUAUCAAAAUAAUCAAGAAUCUCACAAAAAGUCUAAAAAAUAAUCAAGAGUCUAACAAUAAUCAAGGGCCUAACCAAAUAAUCCAGAGUCUAACCUCAAAAACGAGGUUUUUCAAACUAUUUAUAAAAAAUAAAAACCUAAUUACAUAAGGACUCUAUUUGCUGGAAAUCUGUCAAAACGCGGCUGGGUCAACGGACCUCGCGACGCAUCGUCGUGGUCACGACGGACCGUCAUGGACACGACGGACCGUCAUGGACUCCGUCGUCCCAUACUUGAUGCAAUUUCUUAUGCUGCUCUCUUCAUUACUCUCGACAGCAGGUAUGAUGGAUCGUUACAGGCACAACGAUCCGUCGAGGGUCUCCGUUCCAAAACACUUGAACUCUUGGAAUAUGGGUACUGGGACUACUUCUCUGAACUUCAUGACGAACCUGCAGGACGGACCGUCAUGGAUACGACGGUCCGUCACGCAUUUUGUAACCCCACACUUGGUCAGACUUCCCCAUUUUCCUUCAGCAGCUGCACUACGUUGCCACCUACGGACCGUCACGAGCAUGACGGACCGUCACAAGCAUGACGGACCGUCACAAGCAUGACGGACCGUCACAAGCAUGACGGACCGUCACAAGCUCCGUAGGUGGUCUCUUCUGCAUUUCUUUGCUCAAAAACCUCCGCAUUCAUCUUUGGAUAGAUUUCCUGCAAAUAAGGAGAAACUUAUAUAAAAAUUAGCACAAAAAGAUUUUGGACACACUAACUUAAGGAAAAAAUAUUAAUAAUACCGUGACACCAUAGUAUAUCAGUGAUCCUAAGUGUUUGGGAAAAAUCCAUGAAUGUUUUGAAGGUUUAGAGUUGAAAAUCGGAGAAGAAAAGUCAGAAAACUCGUCUGACAGGUCUUGUGGCACCGUGCCUACAAGAGCCCCUCAGGACAGACUCUUUCUGUCAGGCUCUGGCGCGCCGCCGUGCCAGCUAGAGCGCCUGAAGACAGUGUCUGUCGGUCAGGCGCUGGUGCCCCGCGCCUCUCAGAGCGCCAGGGUCACCUGGAGAUUCUAUUUCUCUCCCAUCUUUUCGUACGAGUUCCUAAGUGACGUAUCUAUUAUUUCUAGUUAGUUCCAAUACUCUAAAGUAAAUAUAAACAUUAUGAAAUCAUCCAUAAUAAUGAGAUCAGGAUCCGUGAAUGCAUAAUCCAAUUCAAGGGAAGUUAAGAUCAAAGUCAAAAAAAGUUAAGAGUCAAGUCUAAAAGUUAAAAAACAAGUCAAAGUAAGUUCCUAAAGCAUUCAAGAGUCUUAAACAAACAUUUUAACUUUGUUUUAAGGUUCAAGCAAUGAGUUGAGCAAAGAGUAAAAGAGUUGAGUUAAAUUUUCAAAAGCUAUAAGGGAACUAAGUAUUCCCUAAGAGUUAAGUUUCAAGUUAAGCAAAUAGUAACAAGUUGAGUUCACUUCUCAAGAGUUAGAAGGGAACUAAGUAGUCUCUAACAGUUUAAACAAGAUGUUUUUAAACUUUUGAGAAAGAAAGGAAGCUAGACUUCCACAGAGCCUAUGACUAGUUUUAGUAAAAGAAAAAGGAAACUAUGAUUUCUAAGAAAGUUUUUGAAGCAAAGUUUGAGAAAUUAUCUCAAACUAGAGAAGAAGUUGUUUUAAAAAAACAUAUGAGCUAAGUAUUUUGGGAGUAGUAUUGAGCACCGAUAUGGUGACGCGAGUUCAUAUUAACUCAAGUCUCCAUAAACCAUUGAGCCAACAUGGAGAUAUAAAAGAUCAUACUUUUUAGAUGAUUCCUUAGUAAUUUUAGCAUAGACUAGUGAAUCCUCUUAGUAGUUCAGGUUCUAUAUCGACGACAAGGUAUAGAGUGGUCCUCUUGCAACAUGAGGUAAUACGUUGUACCAUCACUUAGGCUCAUAGAUGGUUGUCGGUUAGAUAAUCUCUCAAAGAAAUUAUAAUACUUUCAAAUAUAUGAGUAAAGUUGAGUUUAUUAUUGAUUUAUCUUUAAUGAACUAAGUGUUUACACUGUUUUACAAGCUUUUCUUAUAUCGCAUGUGUCCUUACUGCUUUAUAUUGAGUCGUUAUUAAUGAGUUGAGCAGAACCAAGGUAAGUUCUUCCUUACUCCUUUCAAGCCUUAUAGUAGUGUUUAGUAUUCCAAUUCGCAUACUCGUUUGGCCUGCAUGCAUCGUCUUAUAAUGCAGAAGCAGGUAAUUAGGAUCAACAUGCAGCACUUUGUUGAACCAGUUUGAGCUCUAGAGUCAGUGGUGAGCCUCCAUGCAUUUCGGAGGAUCCUUUUAUUGCUAUCUAGUUAGUUCAAUAGAAUGUUGUGGGGUUUGUCCCAACAUUCAUCUCAGUCAGUUUAGAGGUUUCAUAGACGGAUAGUAGUAGUUAAGUUGUGUCUCUUUAUUUCAGAUUCUAUAUUUGAGACUUAAGUGCAAAUUUGGCCAAGACAGUAUUUAAAGUCAUUUUUAUGAGAACUUCUUCAAUUCUAUAACUGAAUUAAGUUGAGUCUUCCGCUGAGUUAAGUAAGUCAGACCAAGAGUUCCCUUGAGGCCAGCAAUGGUCACCAAGUGCUAGUCCCACCCAGGGUAUAAGCUCGGAGCAUGCUAAUAUAUGCAUUUCAUAUACGACUUACGUAUUCAGAUACUUUUAACAUUUUGUUAGAGCAGAAGAGUCUUAACUUAUAUAUGUAGGUGAAGUAUUGAUAUAUUGGGAUAUUGGUACUUAUUAUUAUUUUACUUUAAUACUUAUUUAUAAGUCUACAACACACGGUAAGCACACACAAGGUGCUCAACAUGUGUGCUUGAAGUAAAUUUAAUUUUGAAUGAGGUUAAUUUGGUCAUUUUAUAUAAUACUCAAUGUUUCUUUUACUUGUACAAAAUGCAAAAUUGCUUUUAUGGACAUCAAAUGACCAAAAACCCAGUAUCCUUUAACUCAUUGUCAUAUGUUAUAGAACAUUGCAAUUGGUUGAAAAUGAACUUUAAUGUAGUUGCAAUAUAAUUAUUUUUACUUCUUGUCAAAACUGCCCCUAUGCGGCUUAAGCUUAUUUUAUCAACUAUUUGUUAUUACGUGGAGAAAUUAAAGACAUCUUUAGAUGAGUCCUUUUAAGCGGUACCGACCUAGAUAUAUAUAUUCUUUUCGUUUUAUUUAUGUCAUUUUUACUAAAAAUAGGUAAUAUUUAAUAUUUAUCAUUUCACAAAAGUAAUGCAUUAUAUAGUAAUGAAAUCGACUCUCUGAACUCUGUGACGGACCGUCACAGGUACGACGAACCGUCGUGAGCCCCGUUUCAAAACACUUCAACUCUUGAGAAUUUGGUACAGGGAACGAUUCUCUGAACGUCAUGACGGAGGUGCAGGACGGACCGUCGUAGGUACGAUGGGCGUCACAGACUCCUUAAGGAAAUCGAGUCUUUGACGAACCUGCAUGACGGACCGUCGCAGGCACGACGGGCCGUCGCAGGUUGCGCAAUCCCAGUCUAGGUCAGAUUUCUUUACACAUUUUAAGGGACGUUUUUGACUAUUCCUUCUUUAAUUAUAAAGUUAGUGGGUUAAUGUUAAUAAGUCUAAUUACUUGGGGGUUAAAGAGGUAACCUCAAGUUAAUUAGUGGGUUAUUAUUGCCAUCUUUCAUUCUUAAUUAUAUACUAAUUAGGGUAAAAGAAAGAGGGUUUGAAUAAAGAAAAUAGAAAGAACACAAAGAGAGAGAGGGAGAAUCGAACGAGAAGGUGAAAAGAAGAGGAGAAACACAAAGCUUUGGGAAAUUGCUUGCUUGAUUUCUUGUCUUCGGUGGAGGUAGGUUUUGGUUUUCAUGCUAUUCGUAGUAAACUCUUAAUAGCGAAUGAUAUGUGUUAGUAGUAUUGUAAACCCUUCUAUAUGCUUAAUUGUAUGCUUGCAUGAAUGAUGUGAUUAUGGAAUUAUGAAUAAAUAAGCAUGAUGAAGUUAUUGAAUCCCAAAUCUUGAAAAGAAACCUAAUCUACUUUGUUAAUGAUGAUGCCUUGGUAUAAAAGAAGGCUUGAUGAACGAAAGGGGUGAGAUUAGGGGAUCGAGUGCCACAUUCUGGUACCAGUAUAGAGAUAGAGGAUCGGGUGCCACGUUCCGGUACCAGGAUAGAAUGAGGAUCGAAGUGUCACGUUCCGACACCAGGAUAGUAUAUGGAUCGGGUGCCACGUUCCGGUACCAGGAUAGAAUGAGGAUCGGAGUGUCACGUUCCGACACCAGGAUAGUAUAUGGAUCGGGUGCCACGUUCCGGUACCAGGAUAGAAUGAGGAUCGGAGUGUCACGUUCCGACACCAGGAUAGUAUAUGGAUCGGAGUGUCACGUACCGACACGAGGGGAAUAAAUAUAAUGAAUCUUGUAAGAUGCUAAUAUACUCAAUUUAAUGAAACUAAUUCCCAAAUGAGUAUGAUAUUGAGGCUUGAGUCCUCACGUGUGAACUUGACGGUAUUUGUUAAUGAUAUAGUACUUGUUGUUGCUACAUGUUGAGUAUCAUAGUUGAUUUUAUGAUAUUGCUUAAUAUAUAUUGUUUUCUAAUUUCGAGUUGACCGAUGAUAUCUACUCAGUACCCGUGUUUUGUACUGACCCCUACUUUUGUGUUUUCUUCUUUGUUAUUUGUGGAGUGCAGCAAACAUGCCGUCGUCUUCGACUCAACAGUAUUCAAGCCAGUCUUUACUACACCGGAAAUUCAGGGUGAGCUAAUGCUUCUAGCUUGGACUGGAUCUUCUUCUUCAAGUCUUGAUGCCUUGAACUUCCGGCAUGGACUAGCUUCUUAUGUAUUUUUAGCUUCUUAGACAUUUUUAGUUAGUAAUUUGAUCAUAGAUGUUCUUGUGAUGAUGACUUCCAGAUUUUGGGGAAUAAUAGUUAUUGAAUUGGUUUUUAUUUAAUGAGCUUAAGUCUUCCGCAUUAUUUUCUAUUGAUAUACGUUGAAAUGAUAAGGUUUAGAUUGGUUGGUUCGCUCACAUAGGAGGGUAAAUGUGGGUGCCAGUCGCGGCUCGGUUUUGGGUCGUGACAAACCUUGUAUCAGAGCAUUAGGUUCGUUGGUCUCAUCACACAAGAACGAGUCUAGUAGAGUCUUAAGGAACGGUAGGGGGGCGCCUUUACUUUUCUUUGAGGGGCUAUAAGACUUUAGGAAAUUCCAUUCUUUCUUAUCUCUUUCGUGAUACUACUUGAAUCCAAUUGGUAUCUAGGUGAUUCAAAUUGGUAUCUGACCAUCUUCACUCUAUUUCGCAGAUGGUUAGAACUAGAUCAACGACUGCGCCAACACCAACACCGGCAAGACAAGAAACGUCUGAGCCAGCCACUGGGGCUGUGGCUCAAGGAAGAGCAAUAGCAAGAGGUCGUGGUAGAGUUCGUGGGAGGACGUCCUCUAGAGGGAGAGGACGAGUACCUAGCCCAUCUGAUGCUAGGGCGGUGACUCCUCCACCGACUGAGGAAGUAGUAAGAGAGGGUGAGGAAGGGGAGAAUGAACAAGUGCAAAAUGAUGAAUUGCCACCCCAACCUACCCCAGAGAUGAUCAAUCAGGUUCUCGCUUAUCUUAGUGGGUUAUCUGAUUAGGGCCAGACACCUCCAGUGUUUUCUGCACCAGUACCUCAGGUUCCGGAGGUACAACAUGCGGCUACUAUGGCUCCUCGUAUGGAUGCCUCAUUGGACAUAGGCACGUUUCCACGUCUGACUACUGGGCCUAUAAUGACAAAUGAUCAGCAUGAACUUUUCAGUAAGUUCUUGAAAUUGAAACCCCAGUCUUCAAGGGUGCUGAAUCUGAGAAUGCUUACGAUUUUCUGGUUGACUGUCAUGAGCUACUACACAAGAUGGGUAUAGUAGAACGGUUUGGUGUUGAGUUCGUGAGUUAUCAGUUUCAAGGGAACGCCAAAAUGUGGUGGCGGUCACAUGUUGAGUGUCAACCAACAGAGGCACCACCUAUGACUUGGGCCUCAUUCUCUAGCUUGUUUUGGAGAAGUGUGUCAACCAACAGAGGCACCACUAUGACUUGGGCCUCAUUCUCUAGCUUGUUUAUGGAGAAGUAUAUCCCCCAGACUUUGAGGGAUAGGAAAAGGGAUGAGUUCUUGAGCCUAGAUCAAGGUAGGAUGUCGGUUAAUGCAUAUGAGGCUAGGUUUCGCGCACUAUCCAGGUAUGCCACUCAACUUUGUUUCAGUCUACAAGAGCGGAUUCGCCGGUUUGUGAAGGGGUUGAGGUCAGAGUUGCGGAUUUCGGCCUUACAGGUAGCGGCUACGGCAAAAUCCUUCCUAGAAGUGGUAGACUUCGUGAUAGAGGUGGAAGGAGUGAAGCCCAAUGACUUCACCUCGACAUCGACAUCAAAAAGGUUUCGAAAGGGAGGUGAGUUUAAUGGUUCUUACCCUAGGGGAUAGGGUUUCGGAGGUUACUCAGUCCGACCGAUUCAGUCUUCACUACAGACUGUAGUUGGGGGUCCACCUCAGCCGGUCAAAACUUCCUGAGGAGACCUAUGCAUGAACCAAGAAAGUGCUAUGGAUGUGGGUUUCAAUUUUGGAGAUUAAAUAAAUAUUAAUUUUGAAGAUAAAUAAAAAAAAGAUUUACUAACCUACACCAGGCGAAGAUCCCACUUUGAAACCCGCGACGAAGAAAACUUUUGAAAACUCUUACCGCGAUGAGGGUGAAAGAGUAAAAUCAUUUUCUGGAAAAUAAUGAAAACGAGGGGAAAAGCGUAAUAAGAUUUAAGGCAAUUUAGUCUAUGUGGUAGUGCCCUAUUGACAGCAAUAUGGAAUUCAACAUAGCGAAUUUAACAACUUCUCUUAUUAGAAGGGCAUUUUGACACAAUAGUUUCACGGAAGGGUACUUUUUGAGCCGAAAUAUACUUUUAAGGGUAAAUAUGAGUUAUUUUCAGAUAUUUAAGAGUAUUUUUUACUCCUUUUACCUUUUAGUCUACGUGGUAGUGGACCCUAUUGACCGUGCAAUGUGAUGGCAUUUUACAAUUCAUUACAGAAUUGCACUUUUUGACACAAUAGUUUUGACGGGGAGGAGAGUUUUUUGAGCGGAAAUAUAAUUUAAAGGUAAAUAUGAAUAUUUCAGAUAGUUUAAGGAUUCUUUGAGACCCUUUUAUGUUUAAAACUAUAAUGAAUCUUAAUGUCAAAAAACAUUGUAUAAAAUUAAAGGAAAUUAAAAUUCAUGGACAGAUGGUAGGCUAUACUGAAUAUGUUGUAGUAAACAAACAUAUAUAAAACUAUUAAGUUGUAUAAUAUUUUUUAUUUAUUAUAAUCAAACAAAUAAAGUUAUCUUUAAAAUUAAAAUAAAAUGAUUACAUGGAGUCCCAUGAAACAAAAUUUUUGUGACUCUUGAAAAAGAUUACUGGAUACUUCUAGAAAAUAUUUUGACCACUGAUUAUGCAAUUAAUAAAGUUGUAAUUUUGCCCAUAAUAUGUUUAAAUUACAAUAUUGUCAUUGUCCAUCCUAAUCAUGGAAUCUUCUAUAUAAUAGAAAUAUAAUAACUAGAUUCAAGGGUGCCCGUGCUAACGCCAACGCAACGUAUGUUGAUUUUUCUCUUCCAAUUUUAUGUGACAAAAAUGAAUUUGAAAAAAUGAACUAAAUUUUUUAUAUGUGUUUUUUUUUAAAAAAUAUUUUAAAUUAUUAAUUUAUGUACUCUUUUUUGUUGUCAUUUUUGAAUAUAUCUGUUACUUUAUCUAUUUUAUUUUUUAUGAAAUACAGUGAUUUUAGGAAAGUAAACGAAAUUUCUUAUAUGAUUUUCAAUAUAUUUUUAGUUUGUCCAUUUUACUGCGAUUCAUAGUUACUUUUAGUUAUUCACGUUAUUUUCAAACAAUAUAUGCCAAGCUUUUUUUUUGUUUCAAUAAAAAUAAGGGAGUUUCAACAAAAUUUCAUUAUCGGGUUUUACUCAUUUUUUCUAAAAAUUAUUUUAUUGUUCAUUGCUUUUUAAAGUUUUUUUUAAUGUAACUUUCAAAUAUGUAACAAUUUAGAAAUUAAACGAAGAUUAAAGUUUUCAAUCAUUAUAUUUCUAUAAUUAAGAAAAUUAAAUCGCUUUUAAAACUACAUAUAUAUUGCAUAAAUUAGUAAGAAGGAAGCCAACAACUUAUUUUUUAAAAAAAUAUUGAGAGCUCAUUUUUAAAUAGUAAUACAUAAUAUUUCAUUUUUCAUCAUCGAAUCCCUGCUUUUCGGAUUUUAUAUAAAUUAUAAUUUAAUUUAAUUAUUUUUAUUUGUUCAAAAAGAAAAUAACUUCUGAAUUUUAUUUGUUUAUAAAGAUAUUUAAGAUCACAAAAUCAAAAAAAAAAUAUUUCAAUUCACAAAAUUUAAAAAUAUACAUAUAAAUUUUAAUUUUAAUAUUUGAUUGGGUUCACCUAAAUAUUAUACUUGAUAUAUAAUUAUUAAGAGCUAAGCGUAUCAUUAAUCUAUUUACUUUCGUAUAAUAAAUAGAUAUAGCAAUAACUCUUAAAAAAUGAGAAAUAAAAACGAAAUGAGAUAUACUAAUAAUAAUCACUAAAGAUUUUCUAGAACUAGUUUAAAUUUCUUGUUAUCAAUCGUGUUAGUUUUUUUGCUUGCAUAAAUUUCAUUUUUACUUCGAUCAUCAUUCACUUCAAUAUAUAGAAUAAUGUUUCUAGAAUUAUUUAUUCUUGAUAAAUUAAUUGUUAGAAUGAAUUACACAUUUUAUCUUAGUCGUCUUAUACAAAGUAUCACCUAUUUUUUUUAUUUGUCAAGUUACUUUUUAAGAUUUUUUAUUUAUUUCAGUCUACUAUAUAUUAUUAAUUUAUCACACUUUAUUUAUUUUCAAGUUAUUAUAGAGUCAAAAUAAAGAUUGGAAAAUAAUUAAUUCAUGAUACUUUUUAUAUAAAAAGUAGGCAUAUAUUAUAAGCAUAAUGAAUAGAAAAAAAUAUUAAGAAUUAAUUAUUAAGUAAUAGUAAAGUAGCAGUAAUUAUAAAUAGAUAUAACAAUCUCACAAAAGAAAAGAAGUGAAGUGAUAACAAAAUAAGUUAAUGGUAAUAAUAAUACUUAAAAUAUUCUAGAACUAUUAUUUUUUUUUUUUUUUGUUAUCAUUCUUCAUAGAUUUUUUUUGUUAGCCAUGUGAAUUAUAUUUUGCCUGUAACGACCUGUUUAGUCGUUUGGAGCAGCAGAGUUAAUUUCCUGAAAAUCACUCGUUGGGUCGAUCGGAUCCACGACGAAACCGUUUCAAAAAAUGGGCCCAAAAAAAAAACGAACCGGACGUCGAGGGUGUCUCGUGCCAAAACACUUAGAAUUUAGAAAUUUGGUACUGAGAUCGACCUCUGAACUUCACGACGAAAUGGAGGACGGAACCGUUGAGGGGCUCGACGGACGUCAAAAUCCUUACCGCAGAAUUAACUCUCUGAACCUUGUGCACGGAACGUGCGGACGGACCGUCAAGUUGUGACGGACCGUCACAGGCUGCGUGACCUGACUGGUCCGGAUUUUCUGUUAAUAUUUUAGGGCGCGAUUUUGGACUAUUCUACUUUUAUACACUUAUCAAGUUUAGUGGUUUAAUGGUUAAUAAUUUAAUUACUUGGGGUUUAAAGAGAGAACCUUGGAACAAAUAGUGGGAUAUUUUAUCAUCUUUUUAUACUUAAUUUAUAUGCUAAUUGGUAAAAGAAAGAGGGUUUGAAUAAAAAAGAAAAAAGAGCAGAGAGAGGGGAGAACGAUCGAUUGAGAGAGAAGAAGAACGCAGCUUUGGGAAAGUAGAUUGCUUGAUCACAAUCCUUCGGUGGAGGUAGGUUAAUGGUUUACUUGCUAUUCGUAGUAAACCUUAAUUAGCGAAUGAUAUGUUUUGGGUAUGUUGUAAACCCUUUAUAUGCUUAUUGUAUGCUUUGCAGAAGUGAUUAUUAUUGUGAUAAAUAAGCAUGAUGAAGCCUUUGAUCCUAAAUCUUGAAAAUCCUAAUCUACUUUGUUAAUGAUGAUGCUUUGGUAUAAAGAAGGCUUGAUGAACGAAAGUAGUAAAGAUUAGGGGAUCGGAGUGUCACGUUCCGACACCCAGGAUAGUAUAUGCGAUCGGGUUGCCAACGUUCCGGUACCAGGAUAGUAUAAUGAGGAUCGGAGUGUCACGUCGACACCAGGAUAGUAUAAGUGGAUCGGGUGCCACGUUCCGGUCCAGGAUAGUAAUAAUGAGGAUCGGAGUGCCACGUUCCGGUACAAGGAUAUUAUAUGAGGUCGGAUGUCACGUUCCCGACACCAGGAUAGUAUAGUGGAUUCGGGUGCCACGUUCCGGUACCAGGAUCAGUAUGGAUGAAGGAUCGGAGUGUCACGUUCGACACCAGGAAUAGUAUAUGGAUCGGGGUGCUCAGUACCAGACACGAGAGAAAUAAAGAAUAAUGAUCUUGAAAGAUGUUUAAUUAACUCAAUUUAAAUGAACGCUAAUUCCAAAUGAGUAUAGAGGGGAGGCAGUGAGUCCUCAUUGAUUGUGGCUUGGUGUUGUUGACCAAGAGUUAUGAUAAUUAUAAAUGCGCAUGUUGAGUAUUGUAGUUGAUUUUAGAUAUAUCUGAUAUAUAUCUGUUUUCUAUUUUUGAGUUGGCCGAUGAUAUCUACUCAGUCUCGUAGUUUUUGUACUGACGCCCUACUUGUAAUUGUUUUUGUCUUUGUUAUUUGUGGAGUGCAGCAAACGUACGUCGUCUUCAAUCAACGCAAACUCUAAGCCCGUCUUCAAUUACAACCGGAUUUCAGGGUGAGCUAACGUUCCUAGCUUGGACUGGAUCUUUUCUUCAUGUCUUGAUGCCUUGAAGUUCCGGAAUGGACUAGUUUUUUUAUUUAUUCUAUAGCUUUUCUAAAUACUCUUAGAAUUCAGUAAUUUGAGGAUAGACUUGUUCUUGUGAUGAUGACUUCCAGAUUUUGGGAAUAAUAAGUAUUAGAGUUUUUAGACGUUUAUUACAUUCAACAAGAUUAUAUACAUAUAUAAGAAGAUUUAGUCUUUCCGCAUUAUAAUUCUGUUUAUUAUGGUUCAAAUGUUGGGGUUUAGAUUGGUUGGUUUCGCUCACAUAGGGGGUAGUGUGGGUGCCACUCGGGUCCCGCUUUGGUCGUGACAUUUGCCCUUGAUCUAUUAUUCACUUUACAUAUAUAGAAGAUGUUUCUAGUAUUAUAUCAAUUAUCUUUGCUUAUAGAUUUUUGUUAGCGUGUGAAAUUAAUUUUGGACCUUAAUCGUCCUCCACUUCACUCUUCUAUAUAAUUGAAUAGAAAUAACAUUAUAUAAAAUAAAUAUUUAUAAAUGUUAUAAGUUUUCUAUAUCCUUUUUUUAUAGUGAUUAAUUAACAAAUAGGUAAAUCGGAUAUGUUCGGGUAAAAUAAAUAUAUAUGAGAAUGUAUUUAUUGUGAUAUAUGGCAAUUCAUCAAUAGUCAGUCUCUAAUAAUUUAUAUAUUAGUAGUGAAGUAUAUGUUAAAUUUUAAAACGAGGAUUUUACAUAAGUGGAGAAGACUUCUUUUCUUUUUUAUUUUCUCACGAGAUUUUACAUUUUAAAAUUAGUUUAUAACUUAACAUUAAAUUACUUUAUAUGUAUUUUACUUAUUCAAACUCUCACUAUCAAUAUUGUACAUUUGUUUAUUUUUGGUCUUCAUAUUAACCCUAGUAUAGCCUUGCUAAACUAAAUUUUGAAAAUUAUUAUAGUAAGGUGUUUGUUUCCUCACCUCAUAUAUUUACAUCAUAUGCAUAAAAAUUAUGUUAAAUGAAUCAACAAUAUUUUUUUUAUUUAUUUUUAAGAGAGCUAGUUAUUUGGGGCCGCUAAAGCCUACUUCAAAAUUAGGCAAAUCAAAAGAAGGAAGUGUACUAUCAACAAGUAAAAAUGUCAACCUACUCUAAAAAGUUUGGACAAUUUUUAAAGAUAACUGAAAUACUAGAGACAUUAGUAAAUAUUGCGUGAAUCACUUAAUAAAUCGAAAAACAUAAUAUUUUGGAGAUAGUUUUACUAAAAUAUUUUUAACAAUAAACUUGAAUGUUGUACAUAUUUAUUGAAUUGUGGGUAUAGAGACAAUUUUUAGCUUUUUUUCUGAUUUAACAAUAUAUUAAUCGCGAAAGAAGUCAUGUGUUCUUAAUAAAUAAUCGCUAAUGGCAAUUAUUUGCUGCUAAAAAUUCUUCCUCUAAUAAACUUAUUUACACUUUUAGCGUUUAAGACGCAAUGUCCAUCUUAAACUAAUAAUAUUUGGGAAAAAAAAAGGAGGAAAUAAAUUAAACUCAAUUGGGGGAUAACAAUUUUCUUUUAAUUAGUAUGUUAUAUAUACAUUAUUUCAAUUAUACUUUCGAGUUUUUGAUAUACGAAAAUAUAAUGUCAAACUUUAAGAGCAAGAAUUUACAAAAUGAGAACGACUUUUUUUUAAAAUAUAAUGUCCAAACUUUAAAUGACAAGAUUUACAAACCAUGAGACCGACCUUUUUUUUUAUUAUAACGUUUUUUUAUAUAUUAUAUAUAUACAUACACACACACAUCUAUAUCCAUAAUAUCAUUGACUCUUAUUAUAGAUAGGAAAGAGGUUUAAAAUAUAUCAUUGAAACUUUCGAAAAAAACUCAUGUUAUUCAUCAGUUUAAAAGUUUGGUCUCAUUUAUGCCAUUAACCUGUUUAAAAAGAUUCAUUUCUUGCCAUUAUUUUUUAUAAUGGUUUUCGCAAAACCAUUUUUAAUACGUGACCAAUUUAACUCGGCUACGUCCUCCCAUUUAUUUAAUUAAAAAUCAUCAUUCUAAAAAAAAUUGCAUUCAUUUUUUUUUUGAUUUUUUUAUUAAUAUUUGAUGAAUGGCAAUUGAAUUCAGUGGAUUUUCUUAAUUUGGGCGGGUCUUUUAUUUGAGUGGGGUUUUAUUUAUGUUUUUCUUCAGAAUUGAUAUCAAAAAAAAAUAAAAAAUGAUGUGGCCGAAUCAUAACUUUGUCACGUGGUGAAAAGGGUUGGGCCAAAUCGCGCCGUUAAAAACUAAUGGCAGAAAUGAGUCUUUUUCCUAAAUGGUAAUAACAUGAACGAGUUCAAACUUUUAACGGAUCACAUAAUGAAGAUCUUUUCUAAAAGUUCAACCGGCAUAUUUGAGCUUUUUCCCUUAUUUAAAAAAAGUGCUUACAUAACACUCAUUUAUUACAUAAAUAUUUCUAAAAUAUACCAUUUUUUCUAACGGGAGUGAAAAAAAUAUUUUUUUAAACAUAAUUUUUUCAUUUUUUUAAGAAAGUAAAAUCUUGAAUAUAUUAUCUUCCACUUUCUAGAAAUAUUUAUGCCUACAAGAUUUUUUUUUAUUUUUAAAAUUAAAAUUAAUAUUUUCACUUCCAUUAGAUUGAUGAAGAUAUAUCUGAAUCACUUUUUAUAAAAUGGUAAGGAUAUGUAUGAACUCUUAUUUAAUCAAAAUGUGAAUUAUUUUUAUAAUGAGCGAUAUAAAAAUUUUAAUUGCAAAGUUAUGAAGACUUUUUAUUUAGGGAAAAGGGUCUGAUAUACCCCUCAACUUUCAUUUAGAGCUGAUAUGGCCCUUGUGUGAAAGUGGCAUCAUAUAUACAUUAGCUUGUAAAACAAAUGGCUCACAUAUACCCUUUCCUCUAACGGAAAUGGAAAAAAUAAUCUUUACUAAUUUUUUAAUAAUUUUUUUGUCUAAAAAUUAUAUCCCAUAUGAGUAAAUUUAAUCCGUCGUAAAACAUAUUUUUUUUAAACCUUUUUUUAGUUUCAAAUGACUAUUUAUAAUUAUUAUUUUGGAUAAUCAAAUUUAUUUAUGUUUCACUAAUAUUCUUGUAAAGACUUAUUGUUAGAUGAACCAAUUUUUUCUUCGAUACCGAAUUAAAAUUACAAUACAGCACAAAAAAUAGUUUAAAUUUUUUCUCUUUAAACUAAGGAAUUGGAACAGAAAACAUAAGAAUAGAAAACUCAAAUAAUUAUAAUAAAAAAGUCAAAAAAUAAUUUAUAUAAUGAACAAAUAAAUAUCGCUGAACUUUUGAUAGAAGAAUCAUAUAUAUCCCUAAAUAAUUUUUUUAAAAAAUUAAGUAAUAAAUAUGCCAAUUUAAACUAAUUUUUUUAACUUCCGUUAAAUGAAGUGGUAUAUAUGAAGCCAUUUUGUAACGUGGAGGGGUAUAUGUGAGCGCAGCCGUUUGUAUACACGGUAAGGGCAAUAUAUGAAGCACUUUUAUAACGGGGGCGUAUUAUUAGCUCAAUAAACAAAGUUGAGGAGUAAUAUCAGACCUUUUUCUUUUAUUUAUUGUAUAAAAGCUUUCAUAUACUAGUUACAUAUUUAAAUAUUGAAAAUGUUGAUAAGAGAUACCCAUUAAAUGCUAAAGUAAUUGGUAUUGUUAAAAAAUUUCCUUUUAUUUUAUUGUAAUAUAUCUAACAUCCUCGUACUUCACUAACUAAGAAUAAAACUAAGAAUCAAGAAUAAUCAUUUUUUUUGGAAAUAAAUAGGAAAUUCCUGAAAAAUUUACCAGUUGUAAAAAGUGAGUUUUUGGUCAAUCUUCAAACGACCAUAACUCCCAGCUUAGGAGGACGUUUAGGUGUGAGUUCCUUAUUGGUUGGAAAUCCCUUGGAAAGAAAUUUCCAAACGCCAAGUUUGUACAUUUUAAGAUGUGCGUAUGAAGGAGAUAUGAUUUCGAAAGUUUUGGUUUGUUGGAGUGAGGAAAAUUCAAUCCGGAUUUAGUAGGAUAAAGUAGUCUUUUCACUCUAUAUUUCUAAUUCGUUUUUAAAGGGUUUUAUUAGGGGUAAAUCAAGUCCAUAUUCAGUUUUGAAACAGUUGAGAACGCUCAUGGCUUGGGAGAAAAGAGAGAGACCAAAUUUCUUCAAAGAAGCUCAGGUUUCGCUAGAGGAAUUCAUCGGGGGUGAUCUCUAUUCGAGGUAUAAUGAGUAUCUUUCUUAUGUUGGUCGUUCACCCCACACACCACUGUUUUAUUUAGACAAUUUUUGUAUUGAUUGAAUAAUGAAUCUUGAAGUUCUUGAUGAGCCAAUUGUUGAUCCUUAUUGGUAGAGUUGUAAGUGUCUUUAGUUGGUGUUGUUCGUAUUUUCAGGCUGUUUUACGAGUCUAACUAUUGGGUAAUGAGUUAGUAUUAGUGAUUGAUACGCUCAAACUUACUUUUUAAAUAAGAAGUAAGCAGUAAAUGGGGUUUCUAUCUCCUAAAUAAAUGAAAAUACUAAAGCGAAAUUAAGGGGACAACUAACCUUCGAUGUUGGAGUUUAAUCACUUAAUCAAAGUAACUAGGGUUUACGUGUUUCCCCCCACAGGUUUCAUAACUUGAUAAUUCUAAAUAUAACAUUCUUUUCUUUUCUUGUAUCUUGCAUUUGCAAGUGAUAAGUUAUGUAUUUCUAAAUCCUUGGUCGCGGCAUCUAGAAAAUUUUCACUCGGCAACCGGUUGGUCCGACUACGUGUGGUUUUCGCUAUAAUAACCCUUAUUAUUUACCUCAUAUUAAGCAUCCGUAUUCGUAUUUGACUAAGUUAUUACCCCGUACCAAUAAUAUCAGCCCUAUUACGAUAGUAUACACUAAAUUUAUUAUUGGAUAAUUUUUCUAUUUCUUCUCUCUUGGUCCGACAAGUAGCAUUAAAGCGCGAGUUCCUAACGUUGGCCAUCCGUUAAAGACUUCCAAGCGAAAGAAUUAUCAAUACAUGCAAGACACUAUUCUAGAAUUGUUAUUUUUACGUUGAUUUUACUCAUUAUUCGCCUAUGGUUCCCAACUACCCUAAUUAUGGAGUUUAGUUACCAUAAUCAUAAUCAAAUAAUUCCAAAUAUAUGAUAUAAGAAUUCAUGCACUUACUUCAAUGAGAAAGAGUUAAAGAUCAAAAGUUACGCUUGUUAUCACAAUCAAUUACAAGAAUAUAAAUAUCAGAAUCUCACAAAAAGUCCUAAAAAAUAAUCAAAGAGUCUAACAAUAAUCAAGGGCUAUACCAAUAAUCCAGAGUCUACCUCAAAAACGAGGUUUUUUCAAACUAUUUAUAAAUAAAACUAAUUACAUAAGGACUCUAUUUUGCUGGAAAUCUGUCAAACGCGGCUGGGUUCAACGGACCUCGGCGACGGAGCGUCGUGGUCACGACGGCUCCGUCAUGGAACGACGGACCGUCAGUGGAUCCGUCGUCCGCAUACCUUGAUGCAAUUUCUUAUGCUGCUCUCGCUCUUCAUUACCCUCGACGCAAGGUUGAUGGAUCGUUACAGGCACAACGAUCCGUCGAGGGUCUCCGUUCAAAACACUUGAACUCUUGGACAUAUGGGUACUGGGACUACUUCUCUGAACUUAUGCGAUGACUGCAGGACGGACCGUCAUGGAUACGACGGUGUCACGCAUUUUGUUAAACCCCACCCUUGGUCAGACUUCCCAUUUUUCGCUUCAGGCAGUGCUACGUUGGCCACCUACGGACCGUCACGAGCAUGACGGACCCGUCACAUAGGCAUGACGGAACGUCACAAGCAUGACUGGACCGUCACAGCAUGAGGACGGUCACAAGCUCCGUAGGUGGUCUCUUCUGCUAUUCUUUGCUCAAAACCUCCGCAUUCAAUUUUUGGCUAGAUUUCCUGAAAUAAGGAGAAACUUAUAUAAACAUUAGCAGCAAAAAGAAUUUUUUGGACAGCACUAACUUAAGGAAAAAAUAUUAAAUAAUACGUGAACCAUAGUAUAUCAGUGAUGCCUAAAGUUGUUUGGGAUAAAUCAUGAAUGUUUUGCAGGUUUAGGUUGAAAAUGCGGAGAAGAAAAGUCAGAAAACUCGUUGACAGGUCUUGUGGCAAUUCCGUGCUACAAGAGCCCUCAGGACAGACUCUUUCUGUCAGGCUCUGGCGCGCCGCCGUGCAGCUAGAGCGGCCUGAAGACAGUGUCUGUCGUCAGGCUCUGGUGCCCCGCGCCUCUCAGAGCGCAAGGGUCAGCCUGGUGAUUCCUUAUUCUCUCUCACCAUCUUUUCGUACGAGUUCCUAAGUGACGGUUCUAUUAUUUCUAGUUCGUUCCAAUAACUCUAAGUAAAUAUAAAACAUUAUGAAAUCAAUCCUAUAAUGAAUCAGGAUCGUGAAUUUUUGCAUAAUCCAAUCAAGGGAAGUUAAGAUCAAGUCAAAAAAGUUUAAGAGUCAAGUUAAAAGUUAUAAAAAACAGUUCAAAGUAGUUCCUAAAGCAUUCAAGAGUUUUAACAAACAUUUUACUUUGUUUUAAGGAUUCAAGCAUGAGUUGAGCAAAAGAGUAAAAGAGUUGAGUUAAAUUUUCAAAAGCUAUAAGGGAACUAGUAUUCCCUAAGAGUUAGUUUUCAAGUUAAAGCAAAUAGUAACAAGUUCGAGGUUCAGCUUCUCAAGAGUAGAAGGGAACUAAGUAGUCUCUUAACAGUUUAACAAGAAUGUUUUUCAACUUUUGAGAAGAAAGGAAGCUAAGACUUCCACAGAGCCUAUGAAUGUUUUAGUUAAAAGAAAAAGGAAACUAUGAUUUCUAAGAAAGUUUUUGAAGCAAAGUUUGAGAAAUUCAUCUCAAACUAGCAGAAGCAAGUUGUUUUAAAAAAACAUAUGAGCUAAGUAUUUUGGGAGUAGUAUUGAGCACGAUAUGGUGAGCGCGAGUUCAUAUUAACGUCAAGUCUCCAUAAACCAUUGAGCAACAUGGGAUAUAAAAGAUAUACUUUUAGAUGAUUCGCUUAGUAUUUUAGCAUAGAUAGUGUGAUCCUCUUAGUAGUUUCAAGGUUCUAUACGACGACAAGGUAUAGAGUGGUCCUCUUGCAACAUGAGGUAAUACGUUUGUAACCAUCACUUAGCUCAUACGAUGGUUGUCCGUUAGAUAAAUCUCUCAAAGAAAUUAUAAUACUUUCAAAUUAUAUGAGUAAAGUUGAGUUUUUUAUUGAUUUAUCUUUAAUGACUAAGUGUUUACCUGUUUUUUCAAGCUUUUCUUUUAAUAUCGCCAUGUGAUCCUAUACUGGCUUUAUAUUGAGUCGUUAUUAAUUGAAGUUGAGCAGGAACCAGGUAAGUUGCUUCCUUACUCCUUUCAAGCCUUAUAGUAGUGUUUAGGUAUUGCCAUUACGCAUACAUCGUUUGGCUGCAUGCAUAGUCUUUAAUGCCAGAAGCAGGGUAAUUAGGAUCAACAUGCAGCACUCUUGUUGAACCAGUUUGAGGCUCUAGAGUCAAGUGGUCGAGCCUCAUGCAUUCGGAGGAUCCUUUUUAUUGCUAUCUAGUUAGUUCAAUAGAUGUUGUGGGGUUUGUCCCAACAUUCAUCUCAGUCAGUUAGAGGGUUUCAUAUGACGGAUAGUAGUAGUUAGUUGUUCUCUUUUAUUUCAGAUUCUAUUAUUUGAGACUUAGUGCAAAUUUUGGCCAAGGACAGUAUUUAAAGUCAUUUUUAUGAGAGUUCUUGCAUUCUAUAGACUGAAUUAAGUUGAGUCUUCUGUGAGUUAAGUAGUCAGACCACGAGUUCCCUUGAGGGCGCAGCAUGGUCACCAGUGCUAGUCCAACCCAGGGUAUAAAUGCUCGGAGCAUGCUAAUAUAUGCAUUUUUCAUAUACGACUUACGUAUUCAGAUACUUUUAACAUUUUGUUUAGAGCAGAAGAGUCUUAACUUAUUAUGCUAGGUGAAGUAUUGAUAUAUUGGGAUAUUGGUACUUAUUAUUAUGUUUACUUUAAUCUUAUUUAUAAGUUACAACACACGUAAGCACACACAAGGUGCUCAACAUGUGUGCUUGAAGUAAAAUUAAUUUUGAAUGAGGUUUAAUUUGGUCUUUUAUAUAAUACUCAAUGAUUUUCGCUUUUUUACCAACUUUUAAAACACACUUGUAAAAAUGCAAAAUUGCUUUUAUGGACAUCAAAUGACCAAAAACCGCGCGAGUAUCCUUUAACCUCAUUGUAUAUGUUAUAGAACAUUGCAAUUGGUUGAAACUGAACUUUAAAUGUAAGUUGCAAUUUAUUAUUUUUCUUCUUGUCUAAAACUGCCCUAUGCGGCUUAAGCUUUAUUUUUAUCAACUAUUUGUUUAUUAGUGGAGAAAUAGCUCUUUAGAUGAGUCCUUUUAAGCGGUACCGCGAGCUAGGAUAUUAAUAUAUGUCUUUUCGUUUUAUUUUAUGUCAUUUGUUACUAAAAAUAGGUAAUAUUAAUAUUUAUCAUUUCACAAGUAAUGGUAAUCAUUAUAUAGUAAUGAAAUCGACGUCUCUGAACUCUGUGACGGACGUCAGGUACGACGAACGUCGUGAGCCCGUUUCAAAACACUUCAACUCUUGAGAAUUUUGGUACAGGGAACGAUUCUCCUGAAACGUCAUGACGGAGGUGCAGGACGGACCGUCGAGGUCGAUGGCCGUCACAGAUCCUUAAGUGAAUCGAAGUCCUUUGACGAACCUGCAUGACGGCCGUCGCAGGCACGACGGGCCCGUGCGCAGGUUGGCAUCAGUCUAAGGUCAGAUUUCUUUACACAUUUUAAGGGACGUUUUUGACUAUUCCUUCUUUAAUUUAAAGUUAGUGGUUAAUGUUAAUUAAGUUAAUUACUUGGGUUGGUUAAAGGGUUAAACCUCAAGUUUAAAUUAGUGGGUUAUUAUUGCAUCUUUCAUUCUUAAUUAUAUACUAAUUGGUAAAAGAAAGGGGUUUUGAAUAAAGAAAAUAGAAGAACACAUAAGAGGAGGGGAGAUAUCGAACGAGAAGGGAUAAAAGAAGAGGAGAACACAAAGCUUGGGAAAUUGGCUUGCUUGGAUUUCUUGUUUCGGUGGAGGUAGGUUUUGGUUUUCAUGGCCUAUUCGUAGUAAACUUUAAUAGCGAAUGAUUGUGUUAGUAGUAUUGUAAACCCUUCUAAUUGCUUAAUUGUAAUGCUUGCCAUGAAUGAUGUGAUUAUCGGAAUUAUUGAAUAAAUAAGCAUGAUGAAGUUAUGGAAUCCGCAAUCUUGAAAAGAACCCUAAUUACUUUGUUAUGAUGAUGCCUGGUAAUAAAAGAAGGCUUGAUGAAGCGAAAGGGGUGAGAACAUAAAUCAAAUGGAGUGAGCUCAAAUUUAGUGAAUUUUUUUUUAAAAAAUAUUUUGUUGUUUAACAAUUUUUAAAAUGAAAAUGCUAAACCUUUUUCACAAUUAUGUUUUAUAGUUUUUUUAUCAAUAUCUAGUCGAUGAUAACCAUAAUUUUAAUAUAAAUAAUAUAAUAAGGUAACUUAAUUCUGAAAUUCAAGUAUUGAUAUUUUUGAGAAAAUAUUUAUUUAUAAAUUGUAAAACAUUCAUAAUCUAAUAUUUAAUAUGUUUCUUACUCUCAACGAAUGACACUAAUUCAUCAUGAUUCAAAAUUGUAAGAAGUAAAAAUCAAUACUAAAAAGUGCAACUCAUUAUUAUAUGAAGUUUAAUAUGUAGUUUAUCUAUUGUCGAAAGUUUUCCAAGUAUAUGAUAUAUAAUUCUAUGAUAAAUUAAUUUUUGAUCCCAUAUAUUUAUACUAUUUUCAAAUUUAUCCCGUUAAUUGAUUAUAUAUUUUCUUAAACUACAAUUACGCGAUCAUUAUUUAUCAAUUCUACUUUAUCAACUUUAUAUUCUUCUUUUUAUAUCUUUAGAAUUGUGCUAUUUUUGUUUUCUUAUUUAAGUUACAAUUUUAAAGAUAAAAUAAAUAUUUUUGGAGAUAAAAUAAGUUAAAUAAAAAACUAUAUGAAUACUUAUGUUGAAAAAAAAUAUAUAUAAUUAAAAAAUUGUCCUAUUUUUAUUUUCUUAUUUAAGUCACAAUUUUUAAAGAUAAGAUAAAUAUUAUUUUGAGAUAAAAUAAGUUAAAUAAAACUAUAUGAAUACUUUUGUUUAGAAACAUUAUAUAUAAUUAAAAAAAUUACAUAUAUGAAAGAUUUUAUAAAUUAUACUGGUUAUGUUGUAGUAGUAAUAAACAUAGAUGAACAAUUUGUAUUGUCAAGAGUAUAAAAAUAAAAAUAUUUUUCACAUUAUUAUUAUAUCAAACAAAUACAAAUUGAUUUUCAAAAAGAAUAAUAAAAUGUAUUUGUGGGUCACACAUGAAACAAAAAUAUGUGAUUCUUGAAAAAAAAAUAAUAGAUUCUUCUAGAAAACUAUUUUGACAAUUAAUUAUACAAUUAUAAAUUUAAAACUUAACCCAUAAAAAUAAUUAAAAUUACAAAAUUGUCAUUGAUUGGCCUCAUCAUGACUCUUAUGUAUAAUAGAAACUAGAUAAUUGAAGGCCCGUUCAUGGGCUCAAUAUAAUUAAUUAUUUUUUUCAAUUUUAAGUUAAAAAAAUUAUCCAAAUUAAUAUCUUAUUUUAUCAUAGUUUCUAAAAUUUUCUACUAUUUAAACAAUUACAAAAAUGUCCUCUAAGAUACAUUCUUAUCCUCUGUCGGACACAUCAGUAUCUCCUCUCGAAUACAUUCCUAUCAUUUCUUGAAUACAUCUUUAUCUCAUCCUGAAACAUCCAUAUCCUCUCUGGGAUACAUCUCUCCCCUUUCGGAUACAUUCAUUCUCUCUCGAAUACAUCCCUACCUUCUCGAAAUCAUCGUGAGCUCUAUGUCUGCAAGUUUCCUCAAUAGCAAUGUAUCACGAUCGAUGUAUCCGCAUGUGUUGAUUUAUCUGAAAUUAUUUAAUUUUAAAAAGAUUUCGUAAUUUGAAAAAAGUAGGAAUAUAAUGUAAUUAACUCUUUACUCUAUGACAUAUUUUUCUUUGUAGUCAGUUUCAAAAGAAUGAUGUAUAACAUAUUUAAAUAACAUUUUGACUUUAAAAUAUUCAUUCUAUUCUUAGUAAUAUUAUUUAUAGUCAUAUGAACAUCUAUGGUUUGUUUUAGACCAUGAGUUUUAGAAGUGUUUUUUCUUUUAAAAAUUUUCGUGUUAAGUUAAAUUAAAAUUCCAUAAACCGAAAGGGAGUGAGUACAAACUUUAGAUCAAUUUUAUAUUUAUAAAAUUAAAGUUUUUGUAACUAUUUUGUCUUUUAACAAAAUUUAAAAUGAAAUAAUUCACAAUUAUUUUUAUAGUAUUUUUUUAAAAUCAAUAUUCUAUCAAUAAUAAUAAAUUUUUUUUAAUUUAAAUAAGAUAAUAAAGUAUUUUAAUUUUGAAAUUCAUGUAUUGAUAUCAAUUGAGAAAAUAUUUAAUUUUAAGUUGUAAAACAUUCAUAAUCUAAUAUUUAAUGUGCUCCUUACUCUCGAUGAAUGACACUAAUUUAUAAUAAUUCAAGAUUGCAAGAAGUAGAAAUCGAGACUAAAACGUGCAACUCACUAUUAUAUGAAGGUCACUAUGUAAUUUAUCUAUUGUGGAAGUCUCAUUAGUAUAUGAUAGAUAAUUCUAUGCCAAAUUAAUUUUUGUUUUCAUAUAUUUAUACAAUUUCAAAAUUUAUCCCGUUAAUUGGUUAUGUAUUUUAUUAAACUACAACUGCACUCAUUAUUUCAUCUUUUUUUUUUAUUCUUACAUUAUCAACUCUAUUUUUUUAUCUCUUUAGAAUUGUGAUACUUUUGUUUUCUUAUUUAAAUCACAAUGUUUUAAAGAUAAAACAAAUUUUAUUUUGGAGAUUAAAUAAAUAUUAUUUUGAAGAUAAAAUAAAAAAAAGAUUUACUAACCUACAACCAGGAAGAUCCACUUUGAAACCCAGCGACGAAGAAAACUUUGAAACUCUUAGCCGCGAAAUGAGGGUGAAAGAGUAAAAUCAUUUCUGGAAAAUAAUGAAACGAGGGGGAAAAAAGCGUAAUAAAGAUUUAAGGAAUUAGUCUAUGUGGUAGUGGACCCUAUUGACAUGCAAUAUGGAAUUCACAUAGCAUUUAACAACUUCUCUUAAUUAGAAGGGCAAUUUUGACCCAAUAGUUUCACGGAAAGGGUACUUUUGAGCCGAAAUAUACUUUAAGGGUAAAUAUGAGUUAUUUCAGAUAGUUUAAAAGUAUUUUUUACCCUUUUACUUUUAGUCUACGUGGUAGUGGAACCCUAUUGACGUGCAAUGUGAUGGCAUUUAACAACUUCCAUUAAUAAGAAUUGCACUUUUGACACAAUAGUUUGACGGGGAGGAGAGUUUUGAGCGGAAAUAUAAUUUAAGGUAAAUAUGAAAUAUUUCAGAUAGUUUAAGGAUAUCUUUGACCCUUUUAUGUUAAAACUAUAUGAAUACUUAUGUCUAAAAAACAUUGUAUAAAAUUAAAAGGAAAUUAAAUCAUGGAAGAUGGUAGGUUAUACUGAAUAUGUUGUAGUAACAACAAACAUAUAUAAACUAUUAAGUUGUAUAAAUAUUUUUUAUUUAUUAUAAUCAAACAAAUAAAAGUUAAUUUUUAAAAAUUAAAUAAAAUGAUUACAUGGAGUCACCAUGAAACAAAACUUUUUGUGACUCUUGAAAAAGAUUAUUGGAUACUUCUAGAAAAUUAUUUUGACCACUGAUUAUGCAAUUAUAAAGUUGUAAUUUUGCCCAUAAAUAAUGUUUAAAAUUACAAUAUUGUCAUUGGUCAUCCUAAUCAUGACUCUUCUAUAUAAUAGAAAUAAUAAUAACUAGAUAUCAGGUGCCCGUGCUAACGCAAACGCAACGUAUGUUAGAUUUUUCUUCUUCCAAUUUAUGUGACAAAAAUGAAAUUUGAAAAAAAUGAACUAAAUUUUUUAUAUGUGUUUUUUUUAAAAAUAUUUUAAAUUAUUAAUUUAUGUAUCUUUUUUGUCAUUUUCGAAUAAUAUAUGUUACUUUAUCUAUUUUAUUUUAUAUGAUACAAGUGAUUUUAGGAAAGUAAACGAAAUUUCUUAUAUGAUUUUCAUAUAUUUUUAGUUGUCAUUUUACUGCGAUUCAUAGUACUUUUUAGUUAUUACGUUAUUUUCAAACAAUAUAUGCAACUUUUUUUUUGUUUCAAUAAAAAUAAGGGAGUCAACAAAAUUUCAUUAUGUUUUUUCAACUACAUUUUUCUAAAAAUAUUUUAAAUUGUUACAUUGCUUUUUAAAGUUUUUUUAAAUGUAACUUUCAAAUAUGUAACAAAUUAGAAAUUAAAACGAAGAAUUAAAGUUUUCAAAUCAUUAUAUUUCUAUAUUAGAAUAUUAAAACCUUUAAAACUACAUAUAUAUGCAUAAAUUAGUAGAAGGAAGCCUAACAACUUAUUUUUAAAAAAAUAUAUGAGAGCUCAUUUUAAUAGUAAUACAUACAUAUUUCAUUUUUCAAUAUCCGAAUCCCUCCUUUUCGAUUUAUAUAAAUUUAAUUUAAUUUAAUUUUUAUUUUGUUUCAAAAAGAAAAUAACUUCUGAAUUUUAUUUGUUUAUAAAGCAUAUUUAAGAUCACAAAAUCAAAAAAAAAUUUCAAUUCACAAAAUUUAAAUAUACAUAUAAAUUUUAAUUUUAAUUUUGAUUGGUUCCACCUAAUAUUAUACUUGAUAUAUAAUUAUUAAGAGCUAAGCGUAAUCAUUAUCUAUUUACUUUCGUAUAAUAAAUAGAUAUCACAAUAACUCUUAAAAAAUGAAGAAAUAACGAAAAUGAGGUAAUACUAAUAAUAAUCACUAAAGAUUUUCUAGAACUAGUUAAAUUUCUUGUUAUCAAUCGUGUUAGUUUUUUGCUUGCAUAAAUUACAUUUUUACCUUCGAUCAUCAUUCACUUCAUAUAUAGAAAGAUGUUUCUAGAAUUAUUUAUUCUUGAUAAAUUUUUGUUAGAAUGAAAUUACAUUUUAUUCUUAGUCGUCUUUAAUACAAAGUAUCAUCCUAUUCAUUUUUUAUUUGUCAAGUUACUUUUUAAGAUCUUUUUCUUUAAUUUCAGUCUAAUAUAUAUUAUUAAUUUAUCACACUUAUUUAUUUUCAAGUAUAUUAUUAGAGUCAAAAUAAAGAUGAAAAUAAUUAAUUCAUGAUAACUUUUUAUAUAAAAAGUAGGCAUAUAUUAUAAGCAUAAUGAAUAGAAAAAAAUAUUAAGAAUUAAUUUAAAGUAAUAGUAAAGUAGAGUAAUUAUAAAAUAGAUAUCACAAUAACUCACAAAAGAAAAGAAAGUGAAGUGAUAACAAAAUAAGUUAAUGGUAAUAAUAAUAACUUAAAAUAUUUCUAGAACUAUUAUUUUUAUUUUUUUUUGUUAUCAUUCUUCAUAGAUUUUUGUUAGCAUGAAAUUAUAUUUUUGCUGUAACGACCUAUUUAGUCGUUUGGAGCAGCAGAGUUAAUUUCUGAAAAUCACUGUCUGGGUCGACGGAUCCCACGACAGACCGUCAUGGGCACGACGGACCGUCGAGGGUGUCUCGUGCCAAAACACUUAGAAUUUAGAAAUUUGGGUACUGAGAUCGACUCUCUGAACUUCACGACGAAAUGGCAGGACGGACCGUUGAGGGCUCGACGGACCGUCACAAAUCCUUCCGCAGAAUUAACUCUCUGAACCUUGUGACGGACGUGCAGGACGGACCGUCACAGGCUGCGUGACCCUGACUGGGUCGGAUUUCUGUUAAAUAUUUUAAGGGGCGUUUUGGACUAUUCCUACUUAUAAUUAUAAAGUUAGUGGUUUAAUGUUAAUAAUUUAAUUACUUGGGGGUUAAAAGAGAGAACCUUGAAACAAAUAGUGGGAUAUUUUAUCAUCUUUUAUACUUAAUUAUAUGCUAAUUAGGGUAAAAGAAAGAGGGUUUGAAUAAGAAAAAGAAAAAGAACAGAGAGAGAGGGAGAAACGAUCGAUUGAGAGAGAAGAAGAACGCAGCUUUGGGAAAGUAGAUUGCUUGAUCACAAUCCUUCGGUGGAGGUAGGUUAUGGUUUAUGCUAUUCGUAGUAAACUCUUAAUAGCGAAUGAUAUGUAUUGGGUAGUGUUGUAAACCCUUCUAUAUGCUUAAUUGUAUGCUUGCAUGAAUGUGAUUAUAUAAUUGUGAUAAAAUAAGCAUGAUGAAGCUAUUGAAUCCUAAAUCUUGAAAAUCCUAAUCUACUUUGUUAAUGAUGAUGCCUUGGUAUAAAAGAAGGCUUGAUGAACGAAAGUAGUAAGAUUAGGGGAUCGGAGUGUCACGUUCCGACACCAGGAUAGUAUAUGGAUCGGGUGCCACGUUCCGGUACCAGGAUAGUAUAUGAGGAUCGGAGUGUCACGUUCCGACACCAGGAUAGUAUAUGGAUCGGGUGCCACGUUCCGGUACCAGGAUAGUAUAUGAGGAUCGGAGUGCCACGUUCCGGUACAAGGAUAGUAUAUGAGGAUCGGAGUGUCACGUUCCGACACCAGGAUAGUAUAUGGAUCGGGUGCCACGUUCCGGUACCAGGAUAGUAUGAUGAGGAUCGGAGUGUCACGUUCGGACACCAGGAUAGUAUAUGGAUCGGGGUGUCACGUACCGACACGAGAGAAAUAAAGAUAAUGAAUCUUGAAAGAUGUUAAUAUACUCAAUUUAAUGAACCUAAUUCCCAAAUGAGUAUGAUGGGGAGGCGUGAGUCCUCAUUGAUGUGCUUGGUGUUGUGACCAAGAGUUAUGAUAAUUAUAAAUGCCGCAUGUUGAGUAUUGUAGUUGAUUUUAUGAUAUAUAUCAUAUUAUCUGAUAUAUACUAUUUUCUAUUUUGAGUUGGCCGAUGAUAUCUACUCAGUACUCGUGUUUUGUACUGACCCCUACUUGUAAUUGUUUUUCUUUGUUAUUUGUGGAGUGCAGCAAACGUACCGUCGUCUUCAACUCAACCGCAACUCUAGCCAGUCUUCAUUACACCGGAUUUCAGGGUGAGCUAACGCUUCUAGCUUGGACUGGAUCUUCUUCUUCAUGUCUUGAUGCCUUGAAGUUCCGGCAUGGACUAGCUUUUUAUUUAUUCUAGCUUUCUAGAUACUCUUAGAAUUAGUAAUUUAAGGAUAGAUGUUCUUGUGAUGAUGACUUCCAGAUUUUGGGAAUAAUAAGUAUUGAGUUUUUAGAAGUUAUUUAACCGAUUUUCAUUAAUGAGUUUAAGUCUUCCGCAUUAUAUUCUGUUUAUUAUGGUUCAAAUGUUGGGGUUUAGAUUGGUUGGUUCGCUCACAUAGGAGGGUAAGUGUGGGUGCCACUCGCGGCCCGCUUUGGGUCGUGACAUUUGCCCUUGAUUAUUAUUUACUUCAUAUAUAGAAAGAUGUUUCUAGUAUUAUCAAUUAUCUUGCUUAAUAGAUUUUUGUUAGCGUGAAAUUACAUUUUUGCCCUUAAUCGUCCUCCCACUUCACUCUUCUAUAUAAUUGAAUAGAAAUACAUUAUAUAAAAUAAAUAUUUAUAAAUGAUUAUAAGUUUUCUAUAUCCUUUUUAUAGUGAUUAAUUUACAAUAGGUAAAUGGAUAUGUAUGGGUAAUAAAAUAUAUAUGAGAAUAGUAAUUUAAUUGUGAUAUAUGGCAAAUUCAUCAAAUAGUCAGUCUCUAAUAAUUUAUAUAUUAGUAGUGAAGUAUAAUGUUAAAUUUUAAACGAGGAUUUACAUAACGUGAGAAAGACUUCUUUUCUUUUUUAUUUUCUCAAGAGAUUUUUACAUUUUAAAAUUAGUUUAUAACUUAACAUUAAAUUACUUUAUAUGUAUUUUACUUAUUCAAACUCUCACAUAAUUACUUGUACAUUUGUUUAUUUAUGGUCUUCAUAUAUAACCCCUAGUAUAGCCUUGCUAAACUAAAUUUUGAAAAUUAUUACUAGUAAGGUGUUUGUUUCCUCACCUCAUAUAUUUACAUCAUAUGCAUAAAAAUUAUGUAAAAUGAAUAACAUAUUUUUUUAUUUAUUUUUAAAGAGACUAGUUAUUUGGGGCCGCUAAAGCCUACUUCAAAAUUAGCAAAUCAAAAGAAAGGAAGUGUACCUAUCAACCAAGUAAAAAUGUCAACUACUUCUAAAAAGUUUGGACAAUUUUUAAGACUAUGAAAAUAUAGAGACAUAGUAAAAUAUUGCGUGAAUCACUUAAUAAAAUCGAAAACAUAAUAUAUUGGAGAUAGUUUUACUAAAAAUAAUUUUACAAUAAAAUUGAAAUGUGUACAUAUUUAUUGAAUUGUGGGUAUAGAGACAAUUUUUAAGCUUUUUUCUGAUUUACAUAUAUUAAAUCGCGAAAGAAGUCAUGUGUUCUUAAUAAAAUAAUCGCUAAUGGCAAUUAUAUUUGCUGCUAAAAUUCUUCCUCUAAAUAACUUAAUUUACACUUUUAGCGUUUAAGACGCAAUGUCCAUCUUAAACUAAUAAAUAUGAGAAAUAAAUAAACUCAAUUGGGGGAUAACAAUUUCUUAAUUAGUAUGUUAUAUAUACAUUAUUUCAAUUAUACUUUCGAGUUUUGAUAUUACGAAAAUAUAAUGUCAAACUUUAAAGACAAGAAUUUACAAAUGAGAACGACUUUUUUUUAAAAAUAUAAUGUCAAACUUUAAAGACAAGAAUUUACAAACCAUGAGAACGACUUUUUUUUAAUUAUACGUUUUAUUAUAUAUAUAUAUAUAUAUAUACAUACACACACACAUAUAUAUACAUAUAUCAUUGACUCUAUAUAUAUAAGAUAGGAAAGAGGUUAAAAUAUAUCAUUGAACUUUCAGAAAAAAACUCAUUUAUUCAUCAGUUAAAAGUUUGGCUCAUUUAUGCCAUUACCGUUUAAAAAAGAUUCAUUCUUGCCAUUAUUUUUUAAUAAUGGUUUCGCAAAACCAUUUUUAAUACGUGACCAAUUAUAAUUCGGCUACGUCCUCAAUUUAUUUAAUUAAAAAAUCAUCAUUCUAAAAAAAAUUGAAUUCAUUUUUUUUGAUUUUUUUAUUAAAUAAAUUGAUGACAUGGCUAAUUAGAAUUCAGUGGGAUUUCUUAAAUUUGGGCGGGUCUUUAUUUGAGUGGGGUUUUUAUUUAAUGUUUUCUCAGAAUUGAUUUUUUAUCAAAAAAAAAUAAAAAUGAUGUGGCCGAAUCAUAACUUGUCACGUGUGAAAAGUGGUUGGGCAAAAUCGCCGUUAAAAACUAAUGGCAUGAAUGAGUCUUUUCCUAAAUGGUAAUAACAUGAACGAGUCAAACUUUUAACGGAUGACAUAAAUGAGUCUUUUCUAAAAGUUCAACGGCAUAUUUGAGCUUUUUCACUUAUUAAAAAAGUGGCUUACAUACACUCAUAUUAUUACAUAAAUAUUCUAAAAUAUACCAUUUUGUUCUAACGGGAGUGAAAACAAAUAUUUUUUUAAACAUAAUUUUUUAUUUUUAAGAAGUAAAAUCUGAAUAUAUUAUCUUCCACUUUCCUAGAAAAUAUUAUCCUACAAGAUUUUUUAUUUUUAAAAAUUAAAAUUAAUAUUUUCACUUCCAUUAGAUGAUGAAGAUAUACCUGAAUCACUUUUAUAAUGGUAAGGAUAUGUAUGAACUCUUUUAAUUCAAAUGUGAAUUAUUUUAUAAUGAGCGAUAUAACAAUUUUAAAUUGCAAAGUUAUGAAGACCUUUUUAUUUAGGGAAAAGGGUCUGAUAUACCCCUCAACUUUGUCAUUUAGAGCUGAUAUGCCCCUUGUUGUGAAAGUGGCUCAUAUAUACCCUUACUUGUAAACAAAUGGCUCACAUAUACCCUUUUCCUCUAACGGAAAUGGAAAAAAAAAUAAUUUUAAUCUAAUUUUUUAAUAUUUUUUGUCUAAAAAUUAUAAUCCCAUAUGAGUAAAUUUAAUCCUCGUAAAACAUAUUUUUUUAACCUUUUUUAGUUUCAAUGACUAAUUUAUAAUUAUUAUUUUGAUAAUCAAAUUUAUUUAUGUUUCACUAAUAUUCUUGUAAAACUUAUUGUAGAUAACCAAAUUUUUUCUUCGAAUAUGAAAUUAAAUUACAAUACACACAAAAAAUAGUUUAAAUUUUUUCUCUUUAAACUAAGGAUUGAAAGAAAAAACAUAAGAAUAAGAAACUCAAAUAAUUAUAAUAAAAAAAGUCAAAAAAUAAUUUAUAUAUGAAAAAAAUCAAAAUAUACCUUGAACUUUGAUAGAAGAAUCAUAUAUAUCCCUAAAUAAUUUUUUAAAAAAAAUUACAAGUAAUAAAUAUCAAUUUAAAACUAAUUUUUUAACUUCCGUUAAAUGAAGGGUAUAUAUGAGCCAUUUUGUAACGGGAGGGGUAUAUGUGAGCCGUUUGUAUAACGGUAAGGGCAUAUAUGAGCCACUUUUAUAACGGGGGGUAUAUUAGCUCCAAAUAACAAAGUUGAGGGGUAUAUCAGACUCUUUUUCCUUUUAUUUAUUGUAUAAAAGCAUUUCAUAUACUAGUUACAUAUUUAAAUAUUGAAAAUGUUGAUAAGAGAUCCCAUUAAAUGCUAAAGUAUUGGUAUUUUAAAAAAAUUUCCUUUUAUUUAUUGUAUAUAUCUAACAUCUCGUAACUUCAAAUAACUAAGAAUAAACUAAGAAAUCAAGAAUAAUCAUUUUUGGAAAUAAAUAGGAAAUCUGAAAAAUUUCCCAAGUGUAAAAGUGAGUUUUUGGUCAAUUUCAAACGACCAUAACUCCCAGCUUAGGAGGAGUUAGUGUGAGUUCCUUAUAUGGUUGGAAAUCCCUUGGAAAGAAAUUUCCAACAACGCCAAGUUUGUACAUUUUAGAUGUCGUAUGAAGGAGAUAUGACUUUCGAAAGUUUGGUUGUUGGAGUGAGGAAAAUUCAAUCCGGAUUUAGUAAGGAUAAAGUAGUCUUUUCACCCUAGUAUUUUCUAAUUCGUUUUAAGGGUUUAUUAGGGGUAAAAUCAAGUCCAUAUUCAGUUUUGAAAAAGUUGAGAACGCUCAUGGCUUGGGAGAAAAGAGAAGAGAAGAGAAGAGAAAACCAAAAUUUCUUCAAGAACGCUAAGGUUUCGCUAGAGGAAUUCAUCGGGGGUGAUCUCUAUCGAGGUAUAUGAGAUCUUUCUAUGUUGGGUUCGUUCACCCACACACCAACAUGUUUAUUUAGCAAUUUUUGUAUUGAUUGAAUAAUGAAUCUUGAAGUUCUUGAUGAGCAAUUGUUGAAUCCUUAUUGGUAGAGUUGUAGUGUACCUUUAGUUGGUGUUGAUUCGUAUUUUCAGGCUGUUUUACGAGUCUAAACUAUUGGGUAUUGAGUAUAUUAGUGAUUGAUACGCUCAAACUUACUUUUUAAAUAAGAAGUAAAGCAGUAAAUGGGGGUUUCUAUUCCUAAAUAAAUGAAAAUAACUAGCGAAAUUAAAGGAGACAACUAACAACUUCGAAUGUUGGAGUUUAAUCACUUAAUCAAAGUAACUAGGGUUUACGUGUUCCCCACAGGUUCAUAACUUGAUAAUUCUAACUAUAACAAUUCUUUCCUAGUAUCUUGCAUGCAAAGUGAUAAGUUAUGUAUUUCUAAAUCCUUGGUCCGGCAUCUAGAAAAUUUCACUCGGCACCUUGGUCCGACUACGUGUGUUGCUAUACUAACCCUUAUAUUUACCUCAUAUUAAGCAUCGUAUUCGAUAUUUGACUAAGUUAUUACCCCGUACCAAUCAAUACUAGCCUAUUAGAUAGUAUACACUAAAUUUAUAUUGAUAAUUCUUUUCCUAUUAUCUACCUCCUUGGUCCGACAAGUAGCAUUAAGGCGAGUUCUAACGUUGGCCAUCCGUUAAAAAGACUUCCAAGCGAAAGAAUUAUCAAUACAUGCAAGACACUAUUCUAGAAUUGUUAUUUUAGUUAGAUUUUACCUCAUUAUUCGCCUAUGGUUCCCACAACCCUAAUUAUGGAGUUUAGUUACCCAUAAUCAUAAUCACAAUAUUCAAAUAUAUGAUAUAAGAAUUCAUGCACUUACUUCAAUGAGAAAGAGUAAAAUCCAAAAGUUAGCUUGAUUAAUCAACAAUCAAUUACAAGAAUAUCAAAAUAAUCAAGAAUCUCACAAAAAGUCUAAAAAAUAAUCAAGAGUCUAACAAUAAUCAAGGGCCUAACCAAAUAAUCCAGAGUCUAACCUCAAAAACGAGGUUUUUCAAACUAUUUAUAAAAAAUAAAAACCUAAUUACAUAAGGACUCUAUUUGCUGGAAAUCUGUCAAAACGCGGCUGGGUCAACGGACCUCGCGACGCAUCGUCGUGGUCACGACGGACCGUCAUGGACUCCGUCGUCCCAUACUUGAUGCAAUUUCUUAUGCUGCUCUCUUCAUUACUCUCGACAGCAGGUAUGAUGGAUCGUUACAGGCACAACGAUCCGUCGAGGGUCUCCGUUCCAAAACACUUGAACUCUUGGAAUAUGGGUACUGGGACUACUUCUCUGAACUUCAUGACGAACCUGCAGGACGGACCGUCAUGGAUACGACGGUCCGUCACGCAUUUUGUAACCCCACACUUGGUCAGACUUCCCCAUUUUCCUUCAGCAGCUGCACUACGUUGCCACCUACGGACCGUCACGAGCAUGACGGACCGUCACAAGCAUGACGGACCGUCACAAGCAUGACGGACCGUCACAAGCUCCGUAGGUGGUCUCUUCUGCAUUUCUUUGCUCAAAAACCUCCGCAUUCAUCUUUGGAUAGAUUUCCUGCAAAUAAGGAGAAACUUAUAUAAAAAUUAGCACAAAAAGAUUUUGGACACACUAACUUAAGGAAAAAAUAUUAAUAAUACCGUGACACCAUAGUAUAUCAGUGAUCCUAAGUGUUUGGGAAAAAUCCAUGAAUGUUUUGAAGGUUUAGAGUUGAAAAUCGGAGAAGAAAAGUCAGAAAACUCGUCUGACAGGUCUUGUGGCACCGUGCCUACAAGAGCCCCUCAGGACAGACUCUUUCUGUCAGGCUCUGGCGCGCCGCCGUGCCAGCUAGAGCGCCUGAAGACAGUGUCUGUCGGUCAGGCGCUGGUGCCCCGCGCCUCUCAGAGCGCCAGGGUCACCUGGAGAUUCUAUUUCUCUCCCAUCUUUUAGUACGAGUUCCUAAGUGACGUAUCUAUUAUUUCUAGUUAGUUCCAAUACUCUAAAGUAAAUAUAAACAUUAUGAAAUCAUCCAUAAUAAUGAGAUCAGGAUCCGUGAAUGCAUAAUCCAAUUCAAGGGAAGUUAAGAUCAAAGUCAAAAAAAGUUAAGAGUCAAGUCUAAAAGUUAAAAAACAAGUCAAAGUAAGUUCCUAAAGCAUUCAAGAGUCUUAAACAAACAUUUUAACUUUGUUUUAAGGUUCAAGCAAUGAGUUGAGCAAAGAGUAAAAGAGUUGAGUUAAAUUUUCAAAAGCUAUAAGGGAACUAAGUAUUCCCUAAGAGUUAAGUUUCAAGUUAAGCAAAUAGUAACAAGUUGAGUUCACUUCUCAAGAGUUAGAAGGGAACUAAGUAGUCUCUAACAGUUUAAACAAGAUGUUUUUAAACUUUUGAGAAAGAAAGGAAGCUAGACUUCCACAGAGCCUAUGACUAGUUUUAGUAAAAGAAAAAGGAAACUAUGAUUUCUAAGAAAGUUUUUGAAGCAAAGUUUGAGAAAUUAUCUCAAACUAGAGAAGAAGUUGUUUUAAAAAAACAUAUGAGCUAAGUAUUUUGGGAGUAGUAUUGAGCACCGAUAUGGUGACGCGAGUUCAUAUUAACUCAAGUCUCCAUAAACCAUUGAGCCAACAUGGAGAUAUAAAAGAUCAUACUUUUUAGAUGAUUCCUUAGUAAUUUUAGCAUAGACUAGUGAAUCCUCUUAGUAGUUCAGGUUCUAUAUCGACGACAAGGUAUAGAGUGGUCCUCUUGCAACAUGAGGUAAUACGUUGUACCAUCACUUAGGCUCAUAGAUGGUUGUCGGUUAGAUAAUCUCUCAAAGAAAUUAUAAUACUUUCAAAUAUAUGAGUAAAGUUGAGUUUAUUAUUGAUUUAUCUUUAAUGAACUAAGUGUUUACACUGUUUUACAAGCUUUUCUUAUAUCGCAUGUGUCCUUACUGCUUUAUAUUGAGUCGUUAUUUCAUGAGUUGAGCAGAACCAAGGUAAGUUCUUCCUUACUCCUUUCAAGCCUUAUAGUAGUGUUUAGUAUUCCAAUUCGCAUACUCGUUUGGCCUGCAUGCAUCGCCUUAUAAUGCAGAAGCAGGUAAUUAGGAUCAACAUGCAGCACUUUGUUGAACCAGUUUGAGCUCUAGAGUCAGUGGUGAGCCUCCAUGCAUUUCGGAGGAUCCUUUUAUUGCUAUCUAGUUAGUUCAAUAGAAUGUUGUGGGGUUUGUCCCAACAUUCAUCUCAGUCAGUUUAGAGGUUUCAUAGACGGAUAGUAGUAGUUAAGUUGUGUCUCUUUAUUUCAGAUUCUAUAUUUGAGACUUAAGUGCAAAUUUGGCCAAGACAGUAUUUAAAGUCAUUUUUAUGAGAACUUCUUCAAUUCUAUAACUGAAUUAAGUUGAGUCUUCCGCUGAGUUAAGUAAGUCAGACCAAGAGUUCCCUUGAGGCCAGCAAUGGUCACCAAGUGCUAGUCCCACCCAGGGUAUAAGCUCGGAGCAUGCUAAUAUAUGCAUUUCAUAUACGACUUACGUAUUCAGAUACUUUUAACAUUUUGUUAGAGCAGAAGAGUCUUAACUUAUAUAUGUAGGUGAAGUAUUGAUAUAUUGGGAUAUUGGUACUUAUUAUUAUUUUACUUUAAUACUUAUUUAUAAGUCUACAACACACGGUAAGCACACACAAGGUGCUCAACAUGUGUGCUUGAAGUAAAUUUAAUUUUGAAUGAGGUUAAUUUGGUCAUUUUAUAUAAUACUCAAUGUUUCUUUUACUUGUACAAAAUGCAAAAUUGCUUUUAUGGACAUCAAAUGACCAAAAACCCAGUAUCCUUUAACUCAUUGUCAUAUGUUAUAGAACAUUGCAAUUGGUUGAAAAUGAACUUUAAUGUAGUUGCAAUAUAAUUAUUUUUACUUCUUGUCAAAACUGCCCCUAUGCGGCUUAAGCUUAUUUUAUCAACUAUUUGUUAUUACGUGGAGAAAUUAAAGACAUCUUUAGAUGAGUCCUUUUAAGCGGUACCGACCUAGAUAUAUAUAUUCUUUUCGUUUUAUUUAUGUCAUUUUUACUAAAAAUAGGUAAUAUUUAAUAUUUAUCAUUUCACAAAAGUAAUGCAUUAUAUAGUAAUGAAAUCGACUCUCUGAACUCUGUGACGGACCGUCACAGGUACGACGAACCGUCGUGAGCCCCCGUUUCAAAACACUUCAACUCUUGAGAAUUUGGUACAGGGAACGAUUCUCUGAACGUCAUGACGGAGGUGCAGGACGGACCGUCGUAGGUACGAUGGGCUGUCACAGACUCCUUAAGGAAAUCGAGUCUUUGACGAACCUGCAUGACGGACCGUCGCAGGCACGACGGGCCGUCGCAGGUUGCGCAAUCCCAGUCUGGGUCAGAUUUCUUUACACAUUUUAAGGGACGUUUUUGACUAUUCCUUCUUUAAUUAUAAAGUUAGUGGGUUAAUGUUAAUAAGUCUAAUUACUUGGGGGUUAAAAGAGGUAACCUCAAGUUAAUUAGUGGGUUAUUAUUGCCAUCUUUCAUUCUUAAUUAUAUACUAAUUAGGGUAAAAGAAAGAGGGUUUGAAUAAAGAAAAUAGAAAGAACACAAAGAGAGAGAGGGAGAAUCGAACGAGAAGGUGAAAAGAAGAGGAGAAACACAAAGCUUUGGGAAAUUGCUUGCUUGAUUUCUUGUCUUCGGUGGAGGUAGGUUUUGGUUUUCAUGCUAUUCGUAGUAAACUCUUAAUAGCGAAUGAUAUGUGUUAGUAGUAUUGUAAACCCUUCUAUAUGCUUAAUUGUAUGCUUGCAUGAAUGAUGUGAUUAUGGAAUUAUGAAUAAAUAAGCAUGAUGAAGUUAUUGAAUCCCAAAUCUUGAAAAGAAACCUUAAUCUACUUUGUUAAUGAUGAUGCCUUGGUAUAAAAGAAGGCUUGAUGAACGAAAGGGGUGAGAUUAGGGGAUCGAGUGCCACAUUCUGGUACCAGUAUAGAGAUAGAGGAUCGGGUGCCACGUUCCGGUACCAGGAUAGAAUGAGGAUCGAAGUGUCACGUUCCGACACCAGGAUAGUAUAUGGAUCGGGUGCCACGUUCCGGUACCAGGAUAGAAUGAGGAUCGGAGUGUCACGUUCCGACACCAGGAUAGUAUAUGGAUCGGGUGCCACGUUCCGGUACCAGGAUAGAAUGAGGAUCGGAGUGUCACGUUCCGACACCAGGAUAGUAUAUGGAUCGGAGUGUCACGUACCGACACGAGGGGAAUAAAUAUAAUGAAUCUUGUAAGAUGCUAAUAUACUCAAUUUAAUGAAACUAAUUCCCAAAUGAGUAUGAUAUUGAGGCUUGAGUCCUCACGUGUGAACUUGACGGUAUUUGUUAAUGAUAUAGUACUUGUUGUUGCUACAUGUUGAGUAUCAUAGUUGAUUUUAUGAUAUUGCUUAAUAUAUAUUGUUUUCUAAUUUCGAGUUGACCGAUGAUAUCUACUCAGUACCCGUGUUUUGUACUGACCCCUACUUUUGUGUUUUCUUCUUUGUUAUUUGUGGAGUGCAGCAAACAUGCCGUCGUCUUCGACUCAACAGUAUUCAAGCCAGUCUUUACUACACCGGAAAUUCAGGGUGAGCUAAUGCUUCUAGCUUGGACUGGAUCUUCUUCUUCAAGUCUUGAUGCCUUGAACUUCCGGCAUGGACUAGCUUCUUAUGUAUUUUUAGCUUCUUAGACAUUUUUAGUUAGUAAUUUGAUCAUAGAUGUUCUUGUGAUGAUGACUUCCAGAUUUUGGGGAAUAAUAGUUAUUGAAUUGGUUUUUAUUUAAUGAGCUUAAGUCUUCCGCAUUAUUUUCUAUUGAUAUACGUUGAAAUGAUAAGGUUUAGAUUGGUUGGUUCGCUCACAUAGGAGGGUAAAUGUGGGUGCCAGUCGCGGCUCGGUUUUGGGUCGUGACAAACCUUGUAUCAGAGCAUUAGGUUCGUUGGUCUCAUCACACAAGAACGAGUCUAGUAGAGUCUUAAGGAACGGUAGGGGGGCGCCUUUACUUUUCUUUGAGGGGCUAUAAGACUUUAGGAAAUUCCAUUCUUUCUUAUCUCUUUCGUGAUACUACUUGAAUCCAAUUGGUAUCUAGGUGAUUCAAAUUGGUAUCUGACCAUCUUCACUCUAUUUCGCAGAUGGUUAGAACUAGAUCAACGACUGCGCCAACACCAACACCGGCAAGACAAGAAACGUCUGAGCCAGCCACUGGGGCUGUGGCUCAAGGAAGAGCAAUAGCAAGAGGUCGUGGUAGAGUUCGUGGGAGGACGUCCUCUAGAGGGAGAGGACGAGUACCUAGCCCAUCUGAUGCUAGGGCGGUGACUCCUCCACCGACUGAGGAAGUAGUAAGAGAGGGUGAGGAAGGGGAGAAUGAACAAGUGCAAAAUGAUGAAUUGCCACCCCAACCUACCCCAGAGAUGAUCAAUCAGGUUCUCGCUUAUCUUAGUGGGUUAUCUGAUUAGGGCCAGACACCUCCAGUGUUUUCUGCACCAGUACCUCAGGUUCCGGAGGUACAACAUGCGGCUACUAUGGCUCCUCGUAUGGAUGCCUCAUUGGACAUAGGCACGUUUCCACGUCUGACUACUGGGCCUAUAAUGACAAAUGAUCAGCAUGAACUUUUCAGUAAGUUCUUGAAAUUGAAACCCCCAGUCUUCAAGGGUGCUGAAUCUGAGAAUGCUUACGAUUUUCUGGUUGACUGUCAUGAGCUACUACACAAGAUGGGUAUAGUAGAACGGUUUGGUGUUGAGUUCGUGAGUUAUCAGUUUCAAGGGAACGCCAAAAUGUGGUGGCGGUCACAUGUUGAGUGUCAACCAACAGAGGCACCACCUAUGACUUGGGCCUCAUUCUCUAGCUUGUUUAUGGAGAAGUGUGUCAACCAACAGAGGCACCACCUAUGACUUGGGCCUCAUUCUCUAGCUUGUUUAUGGAGAAGUAUAUCCCCCAGACUUUGAGGGAUAGGAAAAGGGAUGAGUUCUUGAGCCUAGAUCAAGGUAGGAUGUCGGUUAAUGCAUAUGAGGCUAGGUUUCGCGCACUAUCCAGGUAUGCCACUCAACUUUGUUUCAGUCUACAAGAGCGGAUUCGCCGGUUUGUGAAGGGGUUGAGGUCAGAGUUGCGGAUUUCGGCCUUACAGGUAGCGGCUACGGCAAAAUCCUUCCUAGAAGUGGUAGACUUCGUGAUAGAGGUGGAAGGAGUGAAGCCCAAUGACUUCACCUCGACAUCGACAUCAAAAAGGUUUCGAAAGGGAGGUGAGUUUAAUGGUUCUUACCCUAGGGGAUAGGGUUUCGGAGGUUACUCAGUCCGACCGAUUCAGUCUUCACUACAGACUGUAGUUGGGGGUCCACCUCAGACCGGUCAAAACUUCCUUGAGAGACCUAUGCAUGAACCAAGAAAGUGCUAUGGAUGUGGGGAGAUUGGAAAUAUUAAGAGAUAUUGUCCAAAACAGAGUUACCGACCCCCAAUAGCUAGAGGUAGAGGUGGUUAUGGAAGAAGUCGUCAUUCUGGAGGACGCGGUGGUCGAGGUAAUGGUGGUCACCAAAACGGCCGGGGUGAUGGGCAAACUGGAGCCACUACAUCACAACAUGGUAGGGGCAAUAGACAGACAAGUAAUGGGGCUCAUUGCUACGCUUUUCCUGGGAGAUCUGAAACGGAGACAUCAGAUGCUGUCAUCACAGGUAAUCUUUUAAUUUGUGAUUGCAUGGCUUCUAUAUUGUUUGAUCCUGGAUCCACAUUUUCUUAUGUAUCUUCCUCAUUUGCUAAUGGUCUAAAUUUACGUUGUGAAUUACUUGACAUGCCUAUUCAUGUUUCUACUCCGGUGGGUGAGUCUGUGGUAGUUGAAAAGGUAUAUAGGUCUUGUUUGGUGAACUUUGUGGGGAGCAACAGUUAUGUAGAUUUGGUUAUCUUAGAAAUGGUUGAUUUUGAUGUAAUUCUGGGUAUGACUUGGCUUUCUCCGCAAUUUGCGAUCUUGAUUGUAAUGCUAAAACGGUGACGUUAGCCAAGCCUGGGACAGAUCCGUUAGUGUGGGAGGGUGACUACACUUCCAAUCCGGUGUGUAUCAUCUCCUUUCUUCGUGCUAAGAAAAUAGUUAGUAAAGGGUGUUUGGCUUUCUUGGCACAUCUCAAGGAUGACACUACCCAAGUACCCUCGAUUGAGUCAGUUUCGGUAGUCCGUGAGUUUUUGGAUGUGUUCCCUGCAGAUCUUCCUGGUAUGCCACCGGAUAGGGAUAUUGACUUCUGUAUUGAUCUUGAACCGGGUACUCGCCCCAUUUCUAUACCCCCUUAUAGAAUGGCUCCCGCCGAAUUGAGAGAGUUAAAGGCCCAACUUCAAGAGUUGUUGAGCAAAGGUUUCAUUAGACCAAGUGCAUCUCCUUGGGGUGCUCCGGUUUUGUUUGUAAAGACGAAGGAUGGGAGUUUUCGGAUAUGCAUAGACUACCGGCAGUUGAACAAGGUAACCAUAAAGAACAAGUAUCCUCUUCCUCGCAUUGAUGACUUGUUCGAUCAGUUACAAGGUGCUCGUGUCUUCUCUAAGAUUGACUUGAGAUCCGGUUAUCAUCAAUUGAAAAUACGGGCAACGGAUGUGCCAAAGACUGCUUUUAGAAUCAGGUAUGGGCAUUACUAAUUUGUAGUGAUGUCUUUUGGUCUUACGAAUGCCCCUACUGCGUUCAUGAGUUUGAUGAACGGGAUUUUUAAGCAAUAUUUGGAUCUCUUUGUGAUCGUAUUUAUUGAUGAUAUACUGAUAUACUCAAAGAGCAAGAAGGAACAUGAAGAGCAUUUGAGAAUGGUAUUGGAAAUGUUGAGGGAGAAAAAUCUUUAUGCCAAGUUCUCUAAGUGUGAGUUUUGGCUAGAUGCAGUGUCCUUCUUGGGGCAUUUAGUUUCUAAGGAGGGAGUGAUAGUGGAUCCUUCCAAGAUUGAGACAGUGAAGAAUUGGGUAAGACCUACUAAUGUGUCAGAAAUAAGGAGCUUUGUUGGGUUAGCUAGCUACUACCACCGAUUCGUCAAGGGAUUCUCUUCUAUUGCUUCCCAACUGACGAACUGCAAAAUGUUCCAUUUGUAUGGUCGGAUGAGUGUGAGGAAAGCUUUCAGAAGCUCAAGACUCUGUUGACUACUGCACUAAUUCUCACCUUGCCAGUGGAAGGUAGGAAUUUUAUUGUCUAUUGUGAUGCAUCCUAUUCGGGUUUGGGUGCAGUGCUAAUGCAAGAGAAGAAUGUGAUUGCUUAUGCUUCGAGGCAAUUAAAAGUGCAUGAACAUAACUAUCCAACUCAUGAUUUGGAAUUGGCUGCGGUAGUGUUUGCAUUAAAGCAAUGGAGACACUAUUUAUAUGGGGUUAAGUGUGAGGUCUACACGGAUCAUCGUAGCCUUCAGUAUGUCUUUACUCAGAAAGAUUUGAACUUGAGACAGAGGAGAUGGAUGGAGCUACUAAAGGACUAUGAUAUCACUAUCUUGUAUCAUCCGGGGAAGGCGAAUGUUGUAGCGGAUGCUUUAAGUAGAAAGGCGGGAAGCAUGGGAAGUCUAGCCCACUUGCAAGCUUCUAGACGCCCAUUGGCUAGAGAAGUUCAGAUUCUGGCUAACGACCUUAUGAGAUUAGAAGUAAAUGAGAAGGGAGGAUUUUUUGCUUGUGUGGAGGCAAGAUCUUCCUUCCUUGACAAGAUUAAGGGAAAACAGUUUGAUGAUGAGAAACUAAGCAGAAUCCAAGAUAAGGUGUUGCGAGGAGAGGCUAAGGAAGCACAAAUCGAUGAGGAAGGUGUUUUGAGUAUUAAGGGAAGGGUAUGUGUACCCCGCGUCGAUGAUUUGAUCAACACUAUUCUGACAGAGGCUCAUAGUUCAAGGUAUUCGAUACAUCCGGGUGCAACAAAGAUGUACUGUGACCUAAAGCAACACUUUUGGUGGAGUAGAAUGAAGCGUGAUAUUGUGGAUUUUAUUGUCAAAUGUCCAAACUGUCAACAAGUAAAGUAUGAACACCAAAGGCCCGGAGGAACACUUCAGAGAAUGUCCAUUCCUGAAUGGAAGUGGGAAAGGAUUGCAAUGGAUUUCGUGGUUGGUCUUCCAAGGACAUUGGGAAAGUUUGAUUCUAUUUGGGUAAUUGUUGAUAGGUUAACUAAGUAUGCUCAUUUCAUUCCAGUUAAGGUGACUUACAAUGCCGAGAGGUUAGCCAAGAUCUAUAUCUCAGAAAUCGUUCGAUUGCAUGGGGUUCCACUAUCCAUCAUAUCAGAUAGAGGUACGCAAUUUACUUCUAAGUUUUGGAAAACAUUGCAUGCGGAAUUGGGUACUAGGUUGGACCUUAGUACUGCGUUCCAUCCUCAGACCGAUGGUCAGUCUGAGCGAACGAUUCAAGUGUUGGAGGAUAUGCUUCGUGCAUGUGUGAUAGAAUUUGGUGGUCAGUGGGAUAGCUUCUUACCCUUAGCAGAGGUCUCCUACAACAAUAGCUAUCACUCAAGUAUUGAUAUGGCUCCAUUUGAAGCAUUGUAUGGUAGGAGGUGUAGGUCCCCCAUUGGUUGGUUUGAUGCAUUUGAAGUUAGACCUUGGGGUACUGACCUUUUGAGGGAUUCAUUAGAGAAAAUGAAAUCUAUUCAAGAAAAGCUUCUAGCGGCGCAAAGUGGUGAUGCGGUUUGGUAAGCAAGGUAAACUUAGCCCAAGGUAUAUUGGCCCAUUUGAAGUACUCAAGCGAAUAGGGGAGGUGGCUUAUGAGUUAGCCUUGCCUCCAAGGCUGUCCGGAGUACAUCCGGUAUUCCAUGUGUCGAUGUUGAAAAGAUACCCUGGGGAUGGAAACUACAUUAUCCGUUGGGAUUCAGUUUUGCUUGAUGAAAAUUUGACUUAUGAGGAGGAGCCUGUUGCCAUUUUAGAUAGAGAAAUUCGCAAGUGGAGAUCAAGGGAGAUUGUAUCCAUCAAAGUUCAAUAGAAGAAUCGACCAGUCGAAGAAGCCACUUGGGAGAAAGAGGCUGAUAUGCGAGAAAGAUACCCACACCUUUUACAGAUUCAGGUACUCCUUUUCGCCCUUGUUUUCCUUCUUGUGAUCGUUCGGGGACGAACGAUGGGUAAAUUGGUAUCUAUUGUAACGACCUGUUUAGUCAUUUUGAGCAGCAGACUUCAAUUCUGGAAAAACUGGCAAAAACGACUGACCCCACGACGGACCGUCAUGGGCACGACGGACCGUCGAGGGGGUCUCGUUCCAUAACACUUAGAAAAUAGAAAAUUGGGUACUGAAAUCGACUCUCUGAACUCUGUGACGGACCUGUAGGACGAACCGUCACAGGUACGACGAACCGUCGUGAGCCCCCGUUUCAAAACACUUCAACUCUUGAGAAUUUGGUACAGGGAACGAUUCUCUGAACGUCGUGACGGAGGUGCAGGACGGACCGUCGUAGGUACGAUGGGCCGUCACAGACUCUUUAAGGAAAUCGAGUAUCUGACGAACCUGCAUGACGGACCGUCGCAGGCACGACGGGCCAUCGCAGGUUGCGCAAUCCCAGUCUGGGUCGGAUUUCUUUACACGUUUUAAGGGACGUUUUUGACUAUUCCUGCUUUAAUUAUAAAGUUAGUGGGUUAAUGUUAAUAAGUCUAAUUACUUGGGGGUUAAAAGAGGUAACCUCAAGUUAAUUAAUGGGUUAUUAUUGCCAUCUUUCAUUCUUAAUUAUAUACUAAUUAGGGUAAAAGAAAGAGGGUUUGAAUAAAGAAAAUAGAAAGAACACAAAGAGAGAGAGGGAGAAUCGAACGAGAAGGUGAAAAGAAGAGGAGAAACACAAAGCUUUGGGAAAUUGCUUGCUUGAUUUCUAGUCUUCGGUGGAGGUAGCUUAUGGUUUCAUGCUAUUCGUAGUAAACUCUUAAUAGCGAAUGAUAUGUGUUAGUAGUAUUGUAAACCCUUCUAUAUGCUUAAUUGUAUGCUUGCAUGAAUGAUGUGAUUAUGUAAUUAUGAAUAAAUAAGCAUGAUGAAGUUAUUGAAUCCCAAAUCUUGAAAAGAAACCCUAAUCUACUUUGUUAAUGAUGAUGCCUUGGUAUAAAAGAAGGCUUGAUGAACGAAAGGGGUGAGAUUAGGGGAUCGGGUGCCACGUUUCGGUACCAGGAUAGAGAUAGAGGAUCGGGUGCCACGUUCCGGUACCAGGAUAGAAUGAGUAUCGGAGUGUCACGUUCCGACACCAGGAUAGUAUAUGGAUCGGGUGCCACGUUCCGGUACCAGGAUAGAAUGAGGAUCGGAGUGUCACGUUCCGACACCGGGAUAGUAUAUGGAUCGGGUGCCACGUUCCGGUACCAGGAUAGAAUGAGGAUCGGAGUGUCACGUUCCGACACCAGGAUAGUAUAUGGAUCGGAGUGUCACGUACCGACACGAGGGGAAUAAAUAUAAUGAAUCUUGUAAGAUGCUAAUAUACUCAAUUUAAUGAAACUAAUUCCCAAAUGAGUAUGGUAUUGAGGCUUGAGUCCUCACGUGUGAACUUGACGGUAUUUGUUAAUGAUAUAGUACUUGUUGUUGUUACAUGUUGAGUAUCAUAGUUGAUUUUAUGAUAUUGCUUAAUAUAUAUUGUUUUCUAUUUCGAGUUGGCCGAUGAUAUCUACUCAGUACCCGUGUUUUGUACUGACCCCUACUUUUAUGUUUUCUUCUUUGUUAUUUGUGGAGUGCAGCAAACGUGCCGUCGUCUUCGACUCAACAGUAAUUCAAGCCAGUCUUUACUACACCGGAAAUUCAGGGUGAGCUAAUGCUUCUAGCUUGGACUGGAUCUUCUUCUUCAAGUCUUGAUGCCUUGAACUUCCGGCAUGGACUAGCUUCUUAUGUAUUUUUAGCUUCUUAGACAUUUUUAGUUAGUAAUUUGAUCAUAGAUGUUCUUGUGAUGAUGACUUCCAGAUUUUGGGGAAUAAUAGUUAUUGAAUUGGUUUUUAUUUAAUGAGCUUAAGUCUUCCGCAUUAUUUUCUGUUGAUAUACGUUGAAAUGAUAAGGUUUAGAUUGGUUGAUUCACUUACAUAGGAGAGUAAAUGUGGGUGCCAGUCGCGGCUCGGUUUUGGGUCGUGACAGCAUAGAAAGCUAAGUAACUAAUUCAUACUUAUUGGUCAAAUUAAAUAGUCAAAAUAAAUAAAUUCAUGUUUAUUGAUUGAAAACUUGACUUCAAAAAAACAGUAAGAAUAGAAUAAAAUUUGCUUAAUUUCGUAAUACACAUAAAAUCUAAAAUAGUGACAUAUAAAUAUGAUCGGAGAGAGUAUAAGUUAAUUCUCUAUUUGUAUCAUACAAAUAGAGAAUCAAGAUUUUAUUAAUGAUUUUUCUUUUAUUUUUUGAUGUAAAGCGCAGUCAAGGCAGCGAUUUCACUUUAAUUUUUUUUAAUUUUCUUACAUAAAUCGCUGGCAAUUUCUCCAAUCUUUUUGUAAAUUUUUUUUAAUUGUGUCGUAAAGCGCUGCAAUUGCAGCGAUAUUUUUUUGCUAAAAAAAUCAAUAUUGUAAAUCGUCUAUGCAUGACUUUAUUGAUUUUUCUUUUUUUUUUGAACAAAUUUUUAGUGGAUUUUUUUAUAAAAUUGAAACUUCUUUUUUAACGUAAGAAAAUUAAAAAAAAUUAAACUGUAAUCGCUGCCUUGGCAGGGAUUUGUUGUAAAAAAAAUUUAUUUUAAAAAAGUGAAUUGUACAAAUUGGUGCUAUAGCAGCGAUUUUCCUUAGCGUCGGCAAACAAAAUCACUACAUCCUAAGCGAUUUUAUCGUUUUGGUUAUAAAAAAAUUCAUAUACCUGUAACGACCUGUUUAGUCGUUUUGAGCAGCAGAUUUUAUUCUGGAAAAACAGGCUGAGGCGACGGACCCAACGACGGACCAUCAUGGGCACGACGGACCGUCGCAGGGUCUCGUUUGAAAACACUUAGAAAAACUGAAAAUUGGAUACUGAAAAUCGACUCUUUGAACUUCGUAACGAAAUGGCAGGACGGACCGUCACAGGUAUGACGGACCGUCACAGACCAUUGGUGGAAAUUUGGGUCUCUGAACUUUGCGACGACCUGCAGGACGGACCGUCGCAGGCACGACGGCCCGUCACAGGUUGCGCAAUCCCAGUCCGGGUCGGAUUUCUUGAUACGUUUUAAGGGACGUUUUUGACUAUUCUUGCCUUAAUUAUAAAGUUAGUGGGUUAAUGUUAAUAAGUCUAAUUACUUGGGGGUUAAAAGAGGUAACCUUAAGUUAAUUAGUGGGGCAUUAUUGCCAUCUUUUAUUCUUAAUUAUAUGUUAAUUAGGGUAAAAGGAAGAGGGUUUUGAAUAAAGAAAAUAGAAAGAACAAGAGAAAGAGAGACAGAGAGUCGAACGAGAAAGAAGAGAAACAAAGCUUGGAGAAAAAUUUGCUUGCUUGAUCACUAAUCUUCGGUGGAGGUAGGUUAUGGUUUCUCUUACGAUAUUCGUAGUAAACUCUUAAUAGAGAAUGAUAUGUAUUGAUAAUAUUGUAAACCCUGCUAUGUGCUUAAUUGUAUGCUUGCAUGAAUGUAAUUAUAUAAUUGUGAUUAUAUAAGCAUGAUGAAGUUAUUGAAUCCCAAAUCUUGCAAAAUCCUAAUCUCUUUGUUAAUAAUGAGGCCUUGGUAUAAAAGAAGGCGUGAUGAACUAAAAUAAUGGGAUUGAUGAUGCCUUGGUAAGAAAGAAGGCUUGAUGAAUUGAUGGAAGGAGAUUAGGGGAUCGGGUGUCACGAACCGACACGUAGAAUUAGGGGAUCGGGUGUCACGAACCGACACGUAGUAUUAGGGGAUCGGAUGUCACGAACCGACACGUAGUAUUAUGAGAUCGGGUGUCACGAACCGACACGUAGUAUUAGGGGAUCGGGUGUCACGAACCGACACGUAGUAUUAGGGGAUCGGGUGUCACGAACCGACACGUAGAUUUAGGGGAUCGGGUGUCACGAACUGACACAUAGAUUUAGGGGAUCGGGUGUCACGAACCGACACAUAGAUUUAGGGGAUCGGAGUGUCACGUACCGACACAAGAGGAUUAAUGAAUAUUGAGGGAGCGGAGUGUCACGUACCGACACAAGAGAAAUAAAGAUAAUGAAUCUUGAAAGAUAUUAAUAUACUCAAUCUAAUGAACAUGAUUCCCAAAUGAGUAUGGUAUUGAGGCUUGAGUCCUCAUGUGUGAACUUGACGGUAAUUGUUAAUGAUAUAGUAUUUGUUGUUGCUACAUGUUGAGUAUCAUAGUUGAUUUUAUGAUAUUACUUGGUAUAUAUUGAUUUCUAUUUUGAGUUGGCCGAUGAUAUCUACUCAGUACCCGUGUUUUGUACUGACCCCUACUUUUAUAUUUUCUUCUUGUUUAUUUGUGGAGUGCAGCAAACGUGCCAUCGUCUUCAACUCAACAGUAAUUCAAGCCAGUCUUACUACAUCGGAAAUUCAGGGUGAGCUAAUGCUUCUAGCUUGGACUGGAUCUUCUUCUUCAAGUCUUGAUGCCUUGAACUUCCGGCAUGGACUAGCUUCUUAUGUAUUUUUAGCUUUUAGAACACUCUUAGUUUAGUCAUUUGAUCGUAGAUGUUCUUGUGAUGAUGACUUCCAGAUUUUGGGGAAUAAUAGAUGUUGAAUUUUAGAAGUUAAUGAAUUGGUCUUUAUUUAAUGAGUUUAAGUCUUCCGCAUUACUUUCUGUUGAUAUUAUAUUGAAAUGUUAAGGUCAGAUUGGUUGGUUCACUCACAUAGAAGGGUAAGUGUGGGUGCCAGUCGCAACCCGGUUUGGGUCGUGACAAUACCUUUUUGAAAUUUUUGUUAAUAUUUUUCACCCUUUAGCCUCUGUACUUGCAUGAAUUACAAUAUUCUUCCUAUUUUACUCUUGUGAAUAAUUAGCUUUGAAAGUAUAUGUUUGAUCAACCUAGAAAAACUAAGUGAAUAGUUUAUGUUCAUUAAUUCAAUUAAUUAAUAAAAAUAAAUUAAUUAAUAUUUUCUUGACAAAUUCCUAUUUGAUUUUUUAAUUUAAUUCAAAAUUUUCAAGUUCCAUGUUUCACUCUUUUCUUGACGAGUUUUGUAAUAAACUAUGUACAAGAAAAGCUGUAGCUAUAAAGAAAUCAACGUAGUACAAAAUUGAAAAUUGUAUUUCAUUAAGUAAAAAAAUAGAAGGGCUUAACAACAAAACAAACUAAUUAAAUUUUAACUUAAACCCCCUGAAAUAAUAAUAAUAAUAAUAAUAAUAAUAAUAAAACAAUACUACAACAAGAAUCAUCAACCACAUACAUAAUAAGAGAGAAUAGACAAACAAAAAUUUGGAUACAACGAUGAAAUAACUAUAGAUAAUACAAAUUUGGAUAUUCAUUAAACUAUAUAUAGUGAAUAUCCUGAUACUAUAUUGCCUAAUUCUCGUUUCUAGGUACAUCAUCCAUGACAAACACGCCUAUUGAAACCCUUCAUGGAGGCGUAUAUCGGUGCCCAAUCCUUUUAUAACGAGGCGUAUAUAAGUGCUAAACUGUAAUGUUAAGAAAUACUUUUUAAUUAGUUUUCUAAAUAUAAUUUAUUCCUUUAUUUCUUUUUGUGUUAAUACUAGAACUAGAAUAGAUCAAUUGAUGUUCAUAACAAAUUCCAACACCUCACUCAUAAUGAAAUUGAUCAUAAUUUAAAGUACUAAAUCAUGCUAAAUAAGUUAAGUAAGUAUUAGUUACAUGCCUAAAUAUUAAAAGAAAAUAAAAUUAGAUCAUGUAUUUUAAUUGUUUAAAUCUAUGUAAAACUAAAAAAUAAAUAUUCAAUAUUAUUGUCAUUCUUAGUGUUGAAUUGAUUCGUUUUUUGCAUUAUUAUUAAUUUGAUUUUUAUUUAAACUUUAUUAUAAUUACCAACAUGUAUGGUCUAUAAUCUUUAUUUGAUAAUUAAGAAUUCUAACUUCCAAACAUAAAAUAAAUAUAGUAAAAGAUAAAAACUGUGAAAAAAGUAUAAGAGAUAUUUAUUAAUUAUAUCAAAGUAAGUAUUUUUACGUAUAAAAUAAAAACUUUAAUUUAUAUGUAUAAUGUCGGGUUGGUUUGGUCUCGGGUUGAUUUAUUAUAGUUGAAACCAACCCAACCCAAAUAUAGUCGGGGUUUUUUUUUCCAACACAAAAUUGAGUCAAACCAAACCACUAGUCAGGUUUUUUUUCGAUUUGACUAGGUCUGCGGGUUUAGUUCAAUUUUCGAUUUGAUUUUAUACACUCGAUUUUGAUUUUUGUGAUCUGUAGUAAGAGAUAUAGAGCAAGUCUUUUUUCCAUUAAACUUAUUUAUUUUAUUUUAUUUUUGUAGGAAAGAAGGGGGACCUUGUAUAAUUUUUUUGAUUUAGAUUUGAUGUAUCUUUGUUAAAAAAGUGGGUUACAUACACUCCUAUUAUCAUAUAAACGUGAAUUACUUUAUAAUGAGCGAUAUAUAAAUUUUAAUAAAUUAUAAAAUUGAGGAGGAGUAUAUCAAGACUUUUUACGGACUUGCGUAUUUAGAUAUUUUAGAGAUUCUGUUAAUUAAAGUAGAAGAGUAGGUGAAUAUUGGUAUGUUGAAAACAUGUGCUAUUUAUACUCAUGAAUAGAAUAAUUAAGUAGUAUAUAAUUGUUUAGUUAAACGUGUUGGGAGCCGUGCAUGCAUAUAUAUAUAUAUAUAUGCAUUUCAUGACAUAUAUAAUAAUAUAAUAAUAAUAUUAUCCAAUCUCACCAUUUAUUUAAUAUAAUAUUACAUGAUAAUUAAGAGGGCACUUCAUUUAUUUAGGUGUGUGUGAGUGAGUGAUGAUGGAGUAGUCCUAGGUAAUAGUGACGGUUGCUAGAGAUGUAAGUAUCCCAAAAAUUGCUGCCAAAGUUUGACCAACCACAUUCUCAAGUAAGUUUCCAAUAAGGAUAACGGGAGCUACAAGGGUUCCUGUGGUUGGAGUCAAAGUGCAAUUAGCAAUUGGGAGAGGAAUCCUUGCAAUACAUGUUCCUGACAAAAGACUUGUAUUGGUGGACACUGCAGCAUUAAUAAUGCCUUGACUAUUUGUGGACACUUGAGCAAUCGUUGUGUUGCCACAAAUAAUCGUUACAUUUGCUCCACUCACUCCGACGCCUGGGGCAUUACUUCCCGGUACGGAGCAAGACAAACUCCCCAAUAUACUUAAAUUAACAACACGAUCAACAACAGGUGGUACAAUCGGUGGUACUUGACCACCAACAGGUGGUACAAUCGGUGGUACUUGACCAACAACAGGUGGUACAAUCGGUUGGCCAAGAAUAGGACUAAGAAUGGGACCAACAAUUGGACCGAGAAUAGAACCAACAAUCGGUAAUUGGCCAAGACCAACAGGUGGUACUUGACCAACGGGUGGUACAAUACGUGGUGCAGGUUGCCCCAAAAUGGGACCCACAAAGGGAAUGGGACCCAAAAUGGGACGAACAAUGAGACCCAAACCUUGAGCAUGGGCUAGAGGACUGAUGGUGAUGAUGGAAAGUAGAACAACAAGGGAAAC
Molecule: long non-coding RNA, 65252 nt
Filed under: Solanum lycopersicum (tomato)
Lineage: Eukaryota; Viridiplantae; Streptophyta; Magnoliopsida; Solanales; Solanaceae
Description: long non-coding RNA (SLYC_LNC000696)
Source: RNAcentral